RNAcentral lists this long non-coding RNA (76076 nucleotides) under Gossypium raimondii (Peruvian cotton). RNAcentral describes it as "long non-coding RNA (GRAI_LNC000610)". The stretch from base 52566 to 52672 matches the Rfam family "Plant small nucleolar RNA R71". The record is from RNAcentral. Lineage: Eukaryota; Viridiplantae; Streptophyta; Magnoliopsida; Malvales; Malvaceae.
CUUUGCCAACUGAGUUAGAAAAGAUUCAUAAUGUAUUCCAUAUAUCUAUGUUACGUCGUUAUCGUUCCAAUCUUUCACAUGUGAUUUCACCGACAGAGGUUGAGAUUCAGCCAAACAUGACUUAUGUUGAAGAACCGGUAAAAAUUUUAGAUAAAGAGAUCAAGCAACUAAGGAACAAAAGUAUUGCACUUGUGAAGGUGUUAUGGAAUAGGCAGGGGUUGAUGAGGCUACAUGGGAGCUCAAAGACGCUAUGCGAAAACAGUACCCAAAUCUUUUCACAGGUAAGAUUUUCGGGGACGAAAAUCCCUAAAAGGGGGGAGAAAUGUAACAUCCUGAUUUUGGGCCUAGUCAGAAUAGUGGUUUCGGGACCACAAAUUCGAUAAGGAAAUAUUUAUUUUUACUAUAUUUUUAUGGCCUACAAUUUCACGGAAUGAUUUCAUGAAAAUUUCGUUCAAAAAUUUCGACAUUUGGACACUCAAUUUAGUCAAAAGGGCUAAAUUGUAAAACGUGCAAAAGUUAAGUUUUAUAUGUUAAAGGUAUUUAAUUGUUAUGGAACUAUAAAUUAGGGGUCCUUAUAUGGUAAUUAGACCAUUAGUUAAUGAUGGACAAAAAUGGACAUGAGAUAAGUGAAAUAGGAUUUUUUUUAGUAAGGGCAAUUUUAGUCAUUUAGUAAAUAAAUGAAUUAAAAAAGGAAAAAGAUGUGAAAAUUUUGUGUUCAUCAUCUUUGCUUGCUGCCAAAUUUGAAAGAAGCCAUAGCUAGGGUUUCUUCACUUUCUCAAGCUCAUAGUAAGUGAUUCCAAGCCCUGUUUUUAAUGUUCUUUACGUUUUGGAAUCCCGGUAGCUUAAUUUAGCUUAUUCUAGCAAUAAUUUAACCUAGGGUUUAUAUUUGAAAAAAUACCCAUAGGUUAAAUAUGUUUAUUUUGAUGUUUUAUGAUAGAAUAUGAAGCUAUAAAUUAUGUUAAACAACUUUUGCUAGUCGAUUUUAAGUGAAAACGAGUAAAUUGACAUAAUCGGUAAAAUAUAUAAUGUUCAUAAGUAAGUGAUAGAGUAAGAAUUUGAUGUUGUCAUAGAAAGGAAAAAUGUUCAUCAUGUUAUGAAACAUAAGAAUAAGAGAUGAAGUUUAAUUUCUGAGCUUUGGGGCAAAAGUGUAAUUAUGUAAAAGUUUAGAGACAAAACUAUAAUUUUGCCAAAAUUAAAUCAAGGACUGUUUUGAUGAAUGUGAGUAUCAAAUUAGCUAAAUUUUCUAUUAUAGAUCAAGAAGAACGAAAUCCGGAGCUAGACCGGGGAAAGAAAAAGAUUGAGGACUAAAGUGUUAGAUUUGAUCACAUUUUUUGUAUCGAGGUAAGUUUACGGUAAAUAAAUACAAUAUUUUAAUAAUUAUUAUUAAUGUUGUUAUUUUCUAGCAAAUAUUUAUUUAUUUCAUGAAUUUAUUUAAUGUUGACUCAAGAAUGAGAUGACAGAAAAUCAGUGAUAAAAUGUCCCGUUGAAACAUAAGGAAUGUAUCGGAUACAAAUGUCAUGACAUUUGGGUAAAGAGGUCCCAUGUAAGACCAUGUCUGGGGCAUGGCGUUGGCACCGAGAUAAGAGGUCUCAUGUAAGACCAUGUCUGGGACAUGGCGUUGGCACCGAGAUAAGAGGUCCCAUGUAAGACCAUGUCUGGGAGAUGGUGUUGGCAUCGAGAUGAGAGGUCCCCCGUAAGACCAUGUCUGGGACAUGGCAUGGGCACCGAUAUGAGAACUCUCAUGUAAGACCAUAUCUGGGAUAUGGCAUUGGCAAUACAAAAAACAUCCCAUAUAAGACCAUGUCUGGGAUAUGGCUUUGGCAUGUUAUUAUCAGAUAUGAGACCCAAGUAUCCUUAAUAUUCCAAUCUGGCUCAACGGGCUAGAAAACAGAUUAUGUUCUAUGGAAGUUCAAGUAAAAGUAUAAUUAGCAACUUCAAGUGAGUUAUAAGAGUUAAGAAUAAGUUAUGAUAUCAGUGAGAACCAAUAUUUCAGCAAGAGAAGAGUAAGUUGUAAUCUUAAGCUAUCUAAAUAGGUAAGUAAAUAAACAAGUAAAUGAGAGUAAGUAAAGAGGAAACUUAAGAACAUGAUACUUGCAUAUCAUUAUUUGUGUUAAAUGUUGUUAUUUAUUUACUUGUAAACUUACUAAGCUUUAUGCUUACUUCUUUUAUUUCUUUUUCUUUCAUAUAGUAUUAUCAAGCAUAGUCGGGAUCUUGAAGACGACAGAGAGCGUUCACACUAUCAACCACCACAACUCGGUAUUUUAAGACGAUAAAUGUUUCGAGCUAUGGCAUGUAUAGGGACUUAGUCAUUUCGAUUGUAUAUUCUUAAAUUAUGACCAAAAGAUGAUAUGUAAAUAUUUUAUGACGAAUAAUUAUUAAAAUAGUUAAGUAUGAAGGUGUUUGUUGUUAUAAAAGUCUAGGUGAUAAAUUAUGCAUAGAAAUCAUGAAAAAGUAAAAAUUGGCAGUGAAUCAGUUUUUAGACAGCAGUAGUGACGUGAUUUUGAAAAAUCACCAAGGAUAGUAGAAAAUGAAUUAGAAAGUGUAUAAGAUAUAGAAUUAAAUAUUAUUGAGUCUAUUUUCAUAGAAAAAUAAUAGUGUAGACAAAGAAAUUAUGUAUUCUGAGAUAUUUGCAUUUUAGUUAGACAAGGUCAAAGUGGUUUUCGGAAUCCCCUGUUCUAUGUUUGGAAAAUCAUUAAAAAUUUUAAAAAAAUAUUUAUGAGUUGUAAUUUAUAUUUCUAGAUUCCUUAUUGAGUAUAUUUUCUCUAGAAACAAGUUAGAACACCAUAUGAAGUCUGUACAAUGAGAUAAUUAAAUUUUAGUAACGAGAGGUUAGGACAGUCGGUCAGUGAAAUUGGGGAGACUUUAACUAAUAAACUGUACUAAUUGGCUAAACCAAAAAUUAUAAAAAAUUUAUGGUAAAAAAACAUAUGAGUUUAGUUUCAGAGAAAAUUUACGGAUCUAAAUUUUGAGUUUCUUAGCUCGAGUUAUAAUUAAUUUAGUAUCUUCUGUGCAGGUGGACAGCUUUGUUGUGAAUAGUGAAAUUAAUUUUAAAAGCAAAUUUUUAUGCCUUAAACUAGUAAGUUAAGUCAAGUAACGCCUCGUGCUCGACUCCGUCAAUGGUCUCGGGUAAGGGUGUUACACAUUAUUUAUCCUUUCAUUUCACAAUUUAUUUUUAAUUCAAUAUUUCAAACAUGAACAAGAGGUGAAUAUUUACCUUGUAACGAAAAUUAUUUAUUUAUUUUAGCAGAGGCCCAGUAGAUUAAACAGAAUACUUAGGAUAUACGUAACUGAUACAGAGGUGCAUUAUUAUGCACUAUUAAACAGAAAGCACUAAAGUAUUAUACAGAGAACAUAAAUGUGCUAAUAAUUAGAGAGCACUUAAUAUCCUAAUAGUUCUAAUCUCGUCUACUUGGGCAAGUUAUUUCAUGCAUGCAUAUCACUUUUACACUUUUCUCAUAAUGCUUUUACAUGCUUUACAAAUUAAUUCUUGUACCACUAAUCUAUAUAUUUAUAUCUUCUCUACCUUUAAUACAUGUAUUAUAUUUCAAAAUUCAUUAUUCAUCCAUAAUUUUCUAGUAAUCCAUAUCAUGUACUUCAUAUAUCACGUUUACAUGUUUUGCAAUUUAGUCAUCAGCACAAUAUUUCUUGUAGCAAAACAAUACACUUUCUAAAUAUGCAUGCAAAACAGAAUAAUAACCGGUCAUAAACCGACCAGACCAACAGGGCUUUCGUCUAACAUUAUAAUUAGCUAACAUUCUCACAACAUAAGAACUCUAUCAGAACUGAACAAUUACACAUAUAUAUCUCUGAGAAUAAAAGAAUAUAUAUAAUAUCCAGAAAAGAUCAUCAUGUUCAUUUCGACUGUAACCUUCACACACAGACAUCUUUACCACUUAAUUACCAUUUCUCUGACUAAUUCUGUUAUCACACUUUAUUCCAUUCACUAAAAAAAAAACUUUCAAUUAAUACAUACAUUCUUUUAAGUAUCAUACCUCAAUAUUUUGUCUCAUAAAAUUUAACUUCUUCUUUAUUUACUCUCACACUUGUUUACUUACUUGCUUGCUUAAACAACUCAUGAUUAUAACUUACUCCUUCCUUAUUGAAAUUCUUUUCUUAACUGAUAACUAAAAUAUUUUUAACCCUUAUACUCACCUAAAUCUAUUUAUCAUACCUUUACCUGAACUUUCAUGUAACAUAAUUUCUUUACUAGCCGUUGAAUUACUUGAAAUACUAAAGAUACUCAAGUCUCUUAUCUAAAUAUAACAUGCCAAAGCUUUGUCCCAGAUAUAGUCUUACAUGGGAUGUUUCCUAUACUGCCAAUGCCAUAUCCCAGGUAUGGUCUUACAUCAGAGUUCUCAUAUCGGUGCCCAUGCCAUGUCCCAGACAUGGUCUUAUGGGGGACCUCUCAUCUCGGUGCCAACGCCAUGUCCCAGACAUGGUCUUACAUGGGACCUCUCAUCCCGGUGUCAGCGCCAUGUCCCAGACAUGGUCUUACAUGGGACCUCUCAUCUCAGUGCCAACGCCAUGUCCCAAACAUGGUCUUACAUGGGACCUCUCAUCUUGGUGCCAACGCCAUGUCCCAAACAUGGUCUUACAUGGGACCUCUCAUCUUGGUGCCAAUGCCAUGUUCCAGACAUGGUCUUACAUGGGACCUCUCAUCUUGGUGCCAACGCCAUGUCCCAGACAUGGUCUUACAUGAGACCUCUCACAAUUUCAAUAAUGCCAAUGUCAUGUCCCAAACAUGGUGUUACACUGGCUCACAUAUCGAUGUCGAUGUCAUGUCUCAGACAUGGUCUUAUACGAGAUCGCAUGCUGAUGCUAUAUCCCAGAUAUGGUCUUAUACGGAAAUCACAUAUCAGAUGUUGCCACGGUCCAACCAUGGUCAUUUCUGUCAAUUCAUUACAUAUCACUGAACGAAAGUACUCAUUCCUAUGUUUUACUCAAUUUGAUCUCUCAAUUCAAUUUUCAUACUAUUAUAAUAUUCAUGGUUCAAUAGCAAAGACAUAAAACAAACAUCAUAUUAUUUCUAAUUUAACAAUUAAACAUAAGAUUCUAUCAUAUAAACAUACUGAUUACACUUAUUCAAGCAAGUGUACAUAAACAUACAUUCCAUCUAUUUGUGUAUAUUUACUUACCUUAUUUACUUAAUCAAAUAUGUUGAGCACAUAACAUCAUAUGCGCGCCAAGCAAACGCAGAUGAGCAUAUCACCAUAUAAACUUUCAUUUUAUUCUACGUAUCUACAUUUCUGAACUCAUGGUUGUGUUACUUCAUACGUUAACACAUACUCAUCAUGAAUUUUCUAUUCAUAUCUUUCUAAAUUUCGUUUCAUCAUAAACACAUUUCAAUUACCUCAACAUCAAUUUUUUUUAGCAUUAUUGGAAACAACUCGGAUAGAAGUCAUCUCUGUCUUACAAAACAAUUUCAUUGGAGUUGAAAGAUAUUAAAUUAUCACGAGUAAUAAUAUGGCAUGUAUAACUAAACUUACAUACGCUAUGUUAGUCCAAGAACCGACUAAACCAUAGCUUUGAUACCACUAAAGUAACACCCCAAACCCGAUCUAAACGUUAUGACCGAAUCUGGCGAUGUCACAUUUUAACACCCCUUACCCGUAUUCGACGAUCGAAUAAGGUACGAGGCAUUACUAGAAGACAUACAUUUGCAUACGUAUUAAACCGAGUUACAACAUUUCAUCCGAAUUAAAACUUUUAAUUAUUAACGUGCUUUUAUAAUUCUUUACAACAUAUCCUCGAAAUAUUAUAUUCAUAACAAAUAGGGCCUACGAGACCCGAUAUUUACUCAUGUAAUUCAAAGCUUCAUUUCCAUUUCAUUCAAUUCACAAUUUCUCAUGUUCACAAUUCAAAUCAAUUUCUCAAUCCAAUAUAUAUAUUUCAAUCAUCUAAGAAUAUAAUUCAAGUUACACAAACUUACCAGGCUAAAUUACAGAAAUACCAACCUCAAAUUUUCACCCAAUCUUGAUAUAAAUUAAUAUUUCAUUCAAUUUUUUAAUUUAAAUAAUAAAACAAUUCAUUUCAUGCAAUUUGGUCACUUUUUGACAUUUUUACCAAUUUACCCUUAACAUACUACUUUUAUUCAAUUUAGGCCUUGAACCUAAAACAUGCAAAUUGGUCAUUUUUAAUGAGAACUCAUGCCAUUUGAAUAAUCAUUUCUUUUCCUCCUCCUCCUCUGCAUUCCACAUCCUUAAUGUAUAAUAUGCUUAUAUGUAACAUUAUUUAUAAUUUCACCAUUUAUUUAUAUAUUAGUUCAAAGCUGUCCACUUGAGUCAUAGUCACUAAAUUAUUUAUAUCUUUAGCUACGGAACUCCAAAUUAAGCUCCGCUAAAUUCCUAUGAAACUAGACUCACAUAUAUUCUUACCAUAAGAUUUUUAUAAUUUUUUGUUUGGCCAAUAAGUACAUUUUAUUCUAUAAAGUUUGCCCUAUUUCACUGUUUGACAGUUCCAACCCCUCUUCACUAAAAAUUAAUUAUCUCUUUGUAGAGAAUUUGGAUGAUGUUUCCGUUUAUUUCUAUUGAAAAUAGACUCAUUCAGGAUUUUUAACAUAUAAAUUUAAGCCUCUAAUUUUUUUUGUUAAAUUUUUUAUGAUUUUCCAAAGUCAACACAGGGGAACCCGAAUUCAUUCUGACCUUGUCUCACAAAAUUUAUUAUACCUCAUGAUUUACAAUUCCAUUGCUUAUAUCAUUUCUUCUAUGAGAAACUAGAUUUAAUAAGAUUUAAUUCCAUAUUUUUCUCAUCUCUAAUUCGAUUUCCAUAAUUUAUGGUGAGGUUUGAAAGUUAACCUAUUGCUGCUAUCCAAAACUGUUUUAAUGCAAGAUGUUGAUUACUAAGUUUAUAACUCCCUAAUUCCCUUUCUCUAUAAUAUUUCCCACCAUUUUCACUUAUUUCCCUUCACUAAUAUAUCAAGAACAUAAGACUUUAUUUAAGAAAACUCGACUAUAACAUCAUUUCCAUGUUUUUUCAACAAUAACAAACUUAAAAAUAUAUUGAAAUCUUGAUGUUCUUACCUUGUGCUAUUGAUUUAAUCUUUAACUUGAUUUUGUCUCUCCUCCAGCUUCUAUUUCUUGAAUCUAACUUGACAUUCUAGCUCCCCAUUGUCUCCUUAUUAUUUUUCUCUCUUGGAAGCUAUGGAAAUUCUUUUCAUUUCUAGGUGAAAAUAGUGAAUUUUUGGUGAAAGGACCAAAUUGUAAAGAAAGCAAAACUUUCUUUCUUCUCUUCUCUUCUAGCAUUGGUUGCAUGAAAAGAUGAUAAUUUUUUCAUCCUCUGUCCUCCUUUUUAUAUUAAUCAUCUAAUAAUAAACUAAUACCAAAGAUAUUAAUAAAAUAUUAAUUAAAUAACAUUUAUCUAAUUAAUUAAUUAAAAAUAUCACAAACAUCAUCAUUACCUUUUAGAAUUCUCUCAAUAUUUGACCAUUUUGCCCUUUAUAAUCUUUUGAAAUUCCAUCCUUGAGUCAUCACUUAAUUUGAUAAAAUUGCAAUUUAGUCACUCAAAAUUCUUCACCUUUUUAAUUUGGUCCUAAUUCAUCCAUUUUCUGUAGUUUCUAGAUUAUUCCACCCUUAAAAUAGUUACACUAUUAGUCCUUGAAAUUUUUCAUAUUUACACUUUAACCCCUCAAAUUUUGAUUAUUUACUCUUGGGCAACAAAACUUUUCCCACUUUUCAAUUUAAUCCUUUCUUGAAUUAAUAUGUCAUAAUAUACUUCCCGAUGUUGACAUCACUCAAUAUUACCCUUUUUAUCACUUUAUUUCCUUAUUUUACUAUAUCAAGGAUAUCAUCUUACUUUCUUACUGUAGUAAUUUUCAGGGUAUUACAAAACUCAAAUGCAUAUAACUCAAAUUACCUUUCAAAUGAAUGACCCACACUAAUUAAAACAACUAAGUCAAUUUUAUCUAUCGAAUAAUAACAUUUCAGAAUAAUCCUUUGUUCUUGUUGUCAAGACAACCCAGACAUACAAUCUAUCAUAAUUCCCUCAUAAAACCAAUCAAAAAUCUCAACAAAUUGCCUUAAGUCAAACGAAACAUAACAUCUCGUUUUAACUCGUUGACAUAAAUUUAGAUUACCUGAGGAAUGAGAACCGAUAUACAAGUUUAAGCUCAAUCUUCCACCAUUCUACACUUUUGUUGUUGACUAUCCUUUUCAUGAAAGCUAGAAAUGAGAUGUAUAAUAAAACUAUUUCAACUAAUAACAUCGAAACUUUAAACCACACAAAAUCCGCCACCAUCAGAUGAAUUAAAAGCACAGUGUUAUAAUUUGCAAUUGUAUAGAUAAAACAAUACCUCAAAUAUCAAUAGUGUAAUUCGAGACCAAAGAGAAAAAACCAAAUGUAGUCCCAAUAACAACUAGUGCAGUAAUACCACCUCUAUAAUCUGGGUUCUAUAACAUCGUUCUCCCAUUAUCAAAUUAGGAAUUAUAACUAUAAUAAAUGUUUUUAUCUCCAGCAAUGAAUAUCCCUUACAGAUGAACCAUUUUUAGUAGAUUAAACAAUAAGAAUGAGAAGAUAAACAAGAUAACGAAAUCCAAGAUGUGGAGCUCUACUGAAUCUUUGAGAAUACAACCCAUAUUGAAUGAUAAAGUGAUUUAUGAUACCCUAGAGAAAAUCUAGAAGAUGAAUAUAGCUCAUCUGCACUGGAACCAGUUGUGACAGACACAACAUAAUAGAAUCUUCUACCGAACAUAAUAAAAUAGAAUGUCAAAGAAAGAUAGAGAAAUACUGAUCAUUAAUUAACCAGACUAACAAUACUUCCGUCUAACAUUAUGAUUAGCUAGCAUUCUCUUAUGAUAAGAAUCACAUCCGAAAAUGAACAAUUGAAUAUACCUCUAAGGAUAAAAGAACAUAUAAAAUACCCAAAAGAGAUUGUCAUAAGUUACUCGACUAUAAUCGCUACAUUCAAAUAUCUUUACAAUUCAAACAUUAUCCCACUGACUACUAAAUUCAUCGAUAAUCUCACAUUAACCCAUUUCACUAAUGAAAUUAAUUCACAAGAAAUUCGUGUUAAUUUGUUCUUUAGAUACCAUACCUGAAUAAGUCACUUACCUGUGAAUAACCUCUUCUUUAACAGUGACAUUGCGUACCCCGAGUGAUCUUCAAAAGAAUUGAUAUCCUUUCUAAAGCUCUCUUUACUUGCUAACCUGAUGCGAUCAUGGUCCAAGACCCAACUAAGGCUGCUGAAGAACCCAUGGAGCUACCAAGGGACUGAUUACUCGUGCUCGAGCUAAGAGGUUCAUGGAAGCUGUUGCAGGCUUUAUUGAUCGAAUUUGGGGUGAAGUCGUUGCGGGGUUUAUUGAUCAAUCAUUGACAUGCACUCCAAGCAUGCCAUGCAACCUACUUCAAGCUCAACUUUAGUUUUCUCCAGCUUGUGAAUUUAUUUGCUGGAAUAAAGAAUUAAAUUCGGUUCUAGUUAUUUUAGUUAAAUUAGUUUAAGUAUAUAAUUAUGUCAUAAUCUGAACAUAUUUAAUAAGGGUUUUUAAUUAUGUCAUAGUUUAGGACAUUUUAAAUACAUAAUUUAAAUAUGUCCUAGUUUGGAAAUCUUUAAUAUAUGUGUUUAGUUCAGACAAAUUAAAUUAUGUUUAAGCUGUGUUUAAUGUGUCUUGUAGGGUGAUCAAUGGACGGCAUUAAAUGGGGAAACAUGCAUUUAGACGUGCAUGCAUGGAUGCUGGUUGAUCUCUUCCAAGCAACUUUUCAUGGAAUGCAAUGGACACAAGUGCUUUCACAUUAUUCCAAUCAGCUGGAUGCUAUAUUCACACUAAGUGACCAUCCAAUUUUGAGUUUUCACACCUGAAGAGAUGUUUAUGUGCCCUAUGCAACAUUAAAAUGGAGACUGCACAUUUGGCUUUCCAAAAAGGCAUCAACCAUGUUCACACCAUCCAAAAUUGAUCAUCUAAUUGAACCAUCAGCUCAAAUUAAAGGCUACACGUUUUGGCUAUUUGGGGAGUGCAAAUGACAUGGCUGUUGGCGUCACCUAUGCAUGAGAGUCUUCAAAAGUCAUGUAGAAUAGGUCAAUAGUUAGUUAACUCAAUUAAGCUGAAUUAAAUUAGUCCACUCGGCUGGACUUCUGUAAAGCUAUAAAUACUAAGCUCAAAUCUUGUAUUUGGAACUUUUGAUCCUUUAGUGAAUUUUAAUCUAUUUGUGAGUUGUUCAACUCUCAUUGUUCUUUUGUGACUCAAAUUGACUUAUCUAGCUAGUCUAGUGGCGUCAAUCUAUUUCUCUUUGUGAACUUAUCACUCUAAUGAAUGUGGCGUUCAACCUAUACCAACUGGUUCCUAUCUCUUAUAAAUAGUAGGUCACGGUUAAGCUAUCAAGUCCAUUUUCAACUUAAGAGCUACUAUAAGAAUUAGUUAAAUAUUACCAUAUAAUAUUGGUUCUCUCUUUAGCCUUAAGCCAAACCUAUUUUUGCCACCUCUAUCCAUUAAAAAUUCCUUUGUUUCUAGCCAACUUUGUUCGUUUACAACCCUUUCAAGAACUAAGUCCAUACUUCUUAAUUUUACGAUCGAAAAUAUAAGAUGCUCGAUUUGCCCAACGAGUACGAGAUCGCAUCAUAACCCAUUCUCGACUCUGACAACAUUAUUAUUCAUUCAGUCACUAAUCUUUUUGAUUUCAUACUUGUAGGCUUAACCAAAAAAAAUCUUGUGAAUUCCAUUGUAUACAACCUUGAGGGUGGGGGUGGCGAUCGUAAAGCCUCAAAAUUUGACUCUUGCAUAUAUAAACACAUAGCAUAGCAUUCCUCAUUAACAUAAUCAUUAUAAAAGUUUAUGUAUACCUUCAUAAGUUUCUACUCAUCCUUGACAACUUUUUUACCCAGAUACUUGAGUAUCACAUUCAGCAUUAUCGGAAUUAGCUCGGUUCGAAAACAUUUUUGUCUAAAAAUAAAACAAAUCUCAUUAAAGUCGGGAGAUAUCACACUAUCACAGGUUAUGUAGUGGCAUGUAUUUCUAGACUUCAUACAUGCUACAUUCAGUCCGAGAGCUGACUAAACUGUAACUCUGAUAACACUAAAUGUAACACCCCUAACCCAUAUCUGUUACAGAAUUAGGGUUAUAGAGCAUUACCAAAAACUUUUAAUUUAAAACAUUCAAUUACAAUCAUUUAUAAAACACAUCAUAUUCAAUUCAAACACAAGCAUAAUGUCCCUUUUUCAAGCCCUCGAGGCUUUAAAAAAUCUUUAGAAAUAAUUCGGGACUAAAUCAAAAAAUUUAGAACUUCAUGAACAAAGAUAGAAAAAUUCAUACUACAGUGGUCACACGGCCGUGUGACCAGGCCAUGUGACUCACAUGGCUAAGCACACUCCGGUGUCUCAAGUCGUGUGGGUAUUCGAAGUAGGGACACACGGUUGUGUCCCAGCCCGUGUCCGUGUCACUAUCUUACUUGGGUCACACAACCAAGCCAUACGCUCAUAUAUCAGGCCAUGUAAUGCUUGAAAUGUAACCAAUAAAAACCUACAAGGGACACAAGACUGUCUUGCGUGACCGUGUGUCACACACGGUUGAGACACAUGCCCGUGUCUUAGGCUGUGUGGAUGAGAAAUAGGCCAUUUUCAAGCCAUUUCAUUCACUCUAAACAUGCUCACACACACAAACCAUUUGUACCUAUUUCAAACAUCAAAAAAAUGUACCUAAAACAUGCAUAAUGUAGUUAAAUCAAAAUGGCAACUAUAUAUACAACCAAUAUGCCAACAGGCACCUCAAUCAGAACGAUCAAAUAUACUUAAACAUAUGCAUAAUUUAGCCAUCCCUAAACCAUACAUUUCUAAUCUAAUUCAAUACCAAUCUUACCACAAUGACCACAUGCCAAAGUCACAUUCAAACAUACCAAGUUUCUCAUUCAAAAAUGCAUUAACCCCUUAUCAAAAUAACACACACCAAAUAGGAAUCAAAGGUACCAAGGUUACAUCAACCAAAAUGACAUAUGCAUGUCAAACUCAUCAACUAACAUGAAACACAAGUCCACCUAUACAUGUCAUUAUAACUUUGAUUUGGACACCAAAAUCUACCAUUAUAAUCGUUGGAUAGUGUGAUAGAUCUCUGACUAGCUUCCUAACCGAUCGAGCUUCCGAUAAUCUGUAAAGUAAGAGAAAGACAACCACACAAGCAAUGAAUGCUUAGUAAGCUCAUAUAAAUUUUAAACAUAAAAUUCCAUUUUUAUACAUGAACUUUAUAAGUCAUAAAUAAACCUAUACCAUUGCUUCAAGAUUUAUCAAACUAUAUAACUAUCAACUCACAAAUGAAUAGGUUCAUUAACAUCUCGAAUACUUUCUAUUCAUACCAUAAUAAAGUCUUAUAAGCUGAAUUACAUAAUCAUCAACCUUUUCUUAAAAUAGUGAACCAUUUCAUUUACUUACUUACCAUUCCAUUUACUUAGCAUAAGCUUAAUUAUGUAUCAAUUCACGAAUCAGUAUACCUAUUCAUGACAUAAGUAAAUUCCUUCCUUACAAGUAAGUCCUUUAACUUGACAAUCCUUUUUAUUUCAUCAUAUUUCGUCACAUCUAUGAACUUAUCAUUUCCAUAUAUAAUCUCACCCGUUUCAUUUGUAUAACUCACAAGAUAUAAGCAUAAACAUCAACCAUAACCACAAGCUAGUGCACUUAAACAUAACUCCUUCACAUUUAACUAAUAAUCAUUCUGUAAUUCAUCAUUCAUCUCAAACUUUCCAAUAAACAUGUAAUCUGGAAUUACUUACCUUCACUAAAUAAGAUUAAAUCUAAAUGAAUAAAUUAAUCAUACCUGUUAUACAUUUACAAAGCACUUAUAGGCUUAGUAUUGAAAAUGAUUCAUCGCAUGCUUCCUGUACUAUAAUAGUUCAACCCAAACUCAUUUAUAUAUGUAUAUAAACAUAUAUAUUUAACUAAAUAAUCAUCAAUAUAACGGUACUCACAUAUGAUCAAGUAAUUCAUUGAACAUUUAACAUUUAACACUUACUAAUUUCUUAACUAUACAUUAGCCUUUAACAUUAAACUAAUUUUAUAAAUUUCAUUCACAGUUAGCCCGAUGAACUAGUAACUUGAAUAGUAUACUCGGGUGGCUACACCACACCAAAGGCAUCAUAGAUGCAUAACAGGGGCACCAUAGUGCGAAUAGAGGCACCGAAGUAUAUAUUGGGGCACUAAAGUGCAAACUGGGGCACUGAAGUGUAACUCUUGUACAAGUGUGCAUUCUAACCCUAUUGGUAUGCCAAUCGUAUGCUAGUGAUUACUACAUUCAACCAGGCAUUUCACGUAAUCCAUUUAUUUUAAACAUAUUUAUCAUUCAAGGGCACGUCAUUAUUUUCGUACACAUGAUAUAAUAUCAAUACAUAUAUUCACAUUGUCAAUGUGCCAUUACAUAGAUUAACAUCAUCUAUUUAUCACUUUCAUCUUUCUCGAUACACGUGCUAUAAUAAUUCAUAAUCAUGCUGAAAUCACAUAUAUAUCAUAUCUCAUAAAUAUUCAAUAGUUUUCUAAUAAAUCCUUUCUCACCUUAUAUUCAAUUAUAAUAUUUCGAGUUUCAGCUCACAUUUUAAACAUCAUAUAUAAGUAUAUACAUUCAUGAAUCAGCAUUAACAUUAUUUAUAUAUAUAGGUUUGUACAAUUCUAUACCUACGAGCUUACCUGGCUAAAUUACAGAAAUGUCAAAGUAUAGGGGCAUUUUGGUAAUUUUCCAUUCUCCUCGAUUUUCCACCCGACAUUGAUCUAAAUUAAUAAUUGUAUUCAAUCUAUUAAUUUAGAUAGUAAAAUAAUAUAUUUUAUACAAUUUAGUCUUUUUGACAUUUUUACAAAAUUACCCCUAAAGUUUCACUUUUACUCAAUUUAGUCCCUGAGCCUAAAACAAGCAAAUUAACCAUUUUUACCCAAAAUUGAGCCCAUCUGAAUACUUAUGCUCUCCAACACAGGCCAUUCAUUCAAUAAUUUCAUAACAAAUCCUUAUAUUUUUACUAUUUUAACAAUUUAGUCCCUAACAUCUAAAAUCACAAGGUUCAUCAAUGGCAAUAUUAAAAAUCUUUAACAGUUUCAAAAUCGAAGGUACGGGCUAGCUAUAACUAAUUGCAACGAUCUGAAAAACAUAAAAAUUAUUAAAAAUGGAGCCAAAAUCACAUACCAUGCAAUAGGAAAACCACUAUGGCUAAACUUAGCUUAAAACCUCCAUGGACAUUCAUUUGUUUGAAGAAGAAACUGAAAAGAUGAUAACCAAUUACCUUUUCUUUUUAUUUUAUUUUAAUUUAUUAUACCAAAUUACCAUUUUAACCUUAGUUAAUAAGUAAAUAAAACAUCAAAUUCAUAUCCAUUAUUGUCCACUAACACCUUGAAUGAUCUAAUUACCAUUUAAGUCCCUUUUCCUUUAUUCAAUUAACCAUUUAAUCGCUCAAAUCAAAUAGUGAUUAAAUUUUACAUCUUUUUCUAAUUUAGUCCUUUAUAAUUAAUUAACUAUCGAAACGUUAAAAUUUUUCAAGGAAACUUUAAUACCACCUGAAUGACACUCCAUAAAUAUUUAUAAAAAAAUUAUGGUUUGAUUUAUAGAAACGAGGUCCCGAUACCUCAUUUUCUAAACCCACUUGACCUUAGGGUCUUACCACUUGAACCUAUUAAAUCAUUUAUAUAACAAAAAUCACUAUAUCACAAACCUUUUUAAAACCAUGUUUGGCUCGUAAAUAUUAAAUGAUAAUAUUUACGAACUUAUUCAUCGAAUUUGGUGGCCCCGAAACCAUUGUUUUCGACACUACUGAAAAAUGGGCUGUUACAUCUUCUCCCUUCUAUUCAAAAAAAAAAACCAUUGAUGCCUUGCUCUAGAAGCUAAUCAGGGGUUUCUCACUAAUAUGAAACUAAAGAUCGGAGUUCAUGUAUAAGGUUGUUUCUCACACGGGGUAAGUAUUUUGGACUCACGUGUUGUUUUUAUAAGAAUGUGUUUGAUUAUGUACGUAAAUGGGGAAAAAAAGAACUAAGGCCUUGCAUGGUGAAUAUUUGUGCUAGAAAUAAGGGUGAGAUUUGAUAAUAUUCCUAUGUCUUAUAAACAGUAACUUUUAAGGGUCCGCAAGAGGAUGUGCGAACUUGGGGAUCAAGCUGUUGUUUAUGGAAGUAAGGUGAGUCCCUCAAUUGAUCAUUACAUGUGUAUUAUGCUUAUCUAGAAAAUUCUAUGUUAAAAUUCUACGCUAAGUGGCCAAAGCAUGAGAUUGGAACUAGUAAAGCAUGAUAUGACGAAUCUAAUAAGAAAUGUAAGACUUAUGAAACUGAAUGAAUAUGGUGCUUAUGUCUGAAAGUAAGAAGAUCGAGUCUGAUAGGAAGUGCAUGUGUGUCUGGUAAACAUAAGAAUGUCCAUCAUAAGUGAGUUAAUACGUGAUGAGUCUGUGUUUAUCUCCAGAGUCGUCAAAGGGAUCCGUUAGGACAAAAUCACAAAUCUUUGAAAGGAAAAGUCCAUGUCCAUGGCACUACAGAAGACGAUAUCAUGUAAUACCAUAAUUGGUGGGUUAUGACAUCAUAUUUGAAGAAGAUCAUAUCGUGUAAGACCGUAACUGGUGGGUUAUGGUAUCAUAUGGAAAAAAUUUAAGGAAGGUUAUUGCCUAAUGUGGUUCUCUAUGUGUCCUAGGACAAUAAGGGGAAAACCUUACUAAGUGUGAGUCUAGACAAAUCCCUAUCGCCUAAAUCACCAGGAGAAGAAAAUCCUUUGUGGCAAAACUUUGGAAAGGCAAGCCUUUGUGGCAAACCUAUUAAAGGAUAACCUUUGUUGCAAAACUUUAGAAAGGCAAGCCUUUGUGGUGAAACUCUGAAAGGACGCCUUUGUGGAGAGACUCUGAAAGGAAAAUCUUUGUGGCCACUACUUAAUGAAAAGGAAGCCUUUGUAGAAAUAUCUAGAUAAGGAAGCCUUUGUUGAAAUCUCUGAAUUAGGGGGCCCUUAUGGCAAUAUCUGGAUAAAGAAACCUUUGUGGCUAUCUCUAAAAAGGAAUGUCUUCAUGGUGCCAUCGAAAGAAUGACACUUGCAGUAACCAUUUGAAAGAAAUGCCUCUGUAGUGGACUCUGAACAAAAAGAAAGAAACCCAUGGUGAACUCUAACAAAAUGGCGUAUAAAGUCUCUUGAAGGAACGAUAAGUAUGGUGAACUUUGAAUGAAAGGCUCCGUAAGAAGUGUUAUGGCUAACCCAGUAUAGUAAUAUGGUAAGAACAACGAGACUAGAGUGUGCCAACGUAAGUAGUGAACCCAAGGUCUUCUAUCUGUAAGGCCCUCUGUAAUAGAAAUGGUUAAGAAAUCACUAAAGAACAAAAUGAAGAAUGUGAAUAAGGCAAUGAUGAUAGGAAUAGUAUGUUAUGAUCUCAGAAUGAGGAAUGACACCAAUGACACAAUGAAUGGAAUUUUAUGGAUGACACAAUGAUAUGAAUAUGGAAUUUUCAAGUAUGAAAUAGGUAAAGGAGGAUUUGCUCACUAAGUUUUCAUGAGCUUAACUUUGUGUCUUUUAUGACACAUGUAAGCUUAUUUGAGGCUAUAUCAGGAGGGACUACGCUAGGUGAAUGGUGAGAUGGGUUGUUAUGCAUACAGAGUGAGCUUGAAAUGAAGUGAUCAAGUUUGACAGAAACACUCUGAAUGGGCUACGCAAUCUAUUUAGAAGCUUGGUAGUGAGAAUAGAAUGUGUUGUGAAAAUAAGUGUAAUAUAUAACUUGUGAACCCUCGUCUAAUUAAAAGGCAUGUUUAAUGUUUGUAAUUAGUUAUUAUACAUCCAGAUGUGGUCUAGCUAAGUAGUCCUAUUAAAUAAGAUGGAUUUUGUUGAAAGUUUAAAUGUUUAGAUAUAAAUAAGUCUAUAAUAGGAAAUGUAACACCCGAGAUCCCAAUCCAACGAAUCAGAUCAAGUCGAGGGCAUUAUAGUUAGUUUAAAACAUUUACUUAACAUAGAUCUUACAAAACACAUAAUCAUGUAGAGCUCGUUGCAUAGAGCUCGCAUGUCACUGUUCAUGAGAUCACAUAUUGAAAUACUUUCGUAAAAUGAAGUAAUAGAAAAGACUUACUUAUCAAAACUUAGGUCAAACCCUAAGCUCCUGAUUAACAUUACAGGUCGCACAUACAAGUUGCAAUCCCUAAACACUCACUAAUUUUUCUUGAAGACUUAGACAAGUUUUGCUAUUCCCUUGACUUUGCUUAAAGAUGGUUCUUGAUUUCUAAGUGUUGGGCUCUUAAGACUUGCAGACAGAAUAAUUGACAGUAAAUUUAGGAGAAAAUAAUGUGUAAUUCCCUUAAUGGAAAUGGCUUAAUUAUAGGCUCUAAGUGUCUUAAUGUCUUUAAUACUCUAAUUGUAAUAGGAGUAAUAUUUAGCGACAUGCAUGGAUAGUGUUGUAAAGAGAAAAGUAAGCUAACAUUCCUAAAUGAGGCACGACUCUACUUUGGCCAUUCUUAUUUUUAACUCACAACCCAAAACUGUAGUUCGUUGGCCUAUUGGCGAUCCCUAUUUCGCCAAAAAUGCUAGCGAUCUAAGUUCUCUAAAUUAUUAGGCGUACUCUAGCUCACCAAGCCUUUUAGAGAACUCCUACUUGCAAAGCUUAUUGGUGUACUUUAGCUCGCCGAACUUGUUGGUCAUACACUUGCUCACGAAUCUACUAGCAUAUACAUGCUUGUCAUUUUCUCUAGCGAACCCUUGUUCACUAGUCUUACUGACGAGUACCUAUUUGUCACGCUCUUGGGCAAUUUUUUGUUCGCCUUGGUGAACCCAACUCACUUGGCCCCAUACUUCUAGGCUCUACUUCAGGAUGUUACAACUCUCCCUCUCUUAAGAAAUUUUGUCCUCGAAAUUCCCUAUGUUUAGAACAGGUCAGGGUACUGGUGUCUCAUUGCUUCCUCUAUUUCCCAAGUGGUUUCGUUGGUCUUGUGAUUUCACCAUAACACUUUAACUAAAGGUAUCUUCUUAUUUCAUAGAGUCUUUUCUUCACAAGCUAAGAUUUCCACGAGCCGUUCAUCAUAAGUAAGACCAGGUCGCACAUCAAUUUCAUCUGUUGAAACAAUGUGGGAAGGGUUCGCGCGAUACUUUAUCAACGUGAACACAUGAAAAACAUCAUGAAUUUACUCCAGUUCUUGUGGUAGCUUAAGUCAGUAGACUACUGGACCAAUCCUUUCAACCACCUCAUAAGGACCAAUACUUGCUUACCUAUUUGGUACUCUAUGUCUCAUCAUUUCAGAUCGGUGUAAGACUUUUGUCUGUCUAAAAAAACAUCCAGUCUUUCGCAAAUCACUUUCACCUUAUCUUCUAUUUAACGAAUUAGCUCUAGUCUAAUCAUUCACUUCUCAUCUAAUUCCGCCCAACACAAAGGUGUUCAACACUUCCUUCCAUACAAUGCCUCGAAGGGUUCCAUUUGGAUACUUACUUGGUGAUAACUCUUGCAAAGAGUUAUAUUUCAUGCCCUUAGGCUUAGUUCAUUACCUGUACUUAAGUGUUGUUAGUUCCAUUUUAGGAUAUUGCAUUGGCACUUUUAAAACAUUGCAUUAAAGAGCUUCGAUUGCGCUUAAUUGUGAUUACAUGUUGAUUUUAACCGCUUGUGAGAAAGAUUUGUUUGGCGAUUGUUUAGUAGGUGUAAAGUGUAGAGAAAAGUUUAACGGUUUGUCAUGGAAAAUACAGAUAGUUUGCCAACACAAAUGUCGUGGCAAUGCUGGAAAGACGCCUAGUCAGCACUUAAGGCGUACCACUCUUGUCCCCACAUAUAUAUCUACUUGGCAAAUAGAGAAAGGAUCACGGGUUGAUGGACCUACCCUAGAAGGUGAAACUUAUGAAAGCCAAGCAAGGAACCAUAUUUAAAGGGAGCCUUUAGACGAAAAAGAGCAACCUUGAGCAGCCGAAAAUAGACUACGACAGCAGCCUUGGAUGAAAUAGUAAAUAUCAGGUAGGGGCCAAGAACAAGGGUAGCAAAAGAAGUAGAAAACAACUGCAAUCACCUUGGGCAAUUGCAAGACAUUGCACUGCCUAUAUUGAGAGUUGGAUAGGAGAAAGUUGUAAUCUUAGAUUUCCUCCUUUGUUUCUUAUCAUGCUUUUCUUUAAAGCUUAUCAGUUAUUGAUGAUGUUGGUUAUCGUAUUAAACUCAAACCUGAUUUUCCCAACCAUGAGCUAAAUCUCUUAGGCUUGGGAUUACUUUGAUGAAACCUUUGUUACUAUUAAUGUUUAAAGUUUAAUUUUGGUUUGCUCUACUAUUUUAUUCAAUGGCAUAUCACGUUAUAUGUAGGUUGUACAUUAACGAAUGUACGACAGGUUUAUAAAGAAAACUUAAUACCGAUAAGGUUGGGUUACCUGGAUAAGUGUUGGAUAAUAUGAGGGAAUGAUUAAUCACUUAUACAUGGCAACCUUUAGACAUAAAGCCUUGCCUUGUGCAAAAGAAGGUAGGAAAUAUUAGUGGUAGCCGAACUCAAAGCUUAUAGACAUAUAAUGCCCUAGGGAAUGUAACCGAAGGUCUUGCUCUCGAGAGAAGUAGACUACUGUAGAAACCUAUUGAAUAGUAGAAUAUUCACGACUUUGUUGUGGCAUUAAUAGGUAAUGAAGGUUGAUCCAUUAGUAAUCCCAGUCGUCCUAAUCAACAUUGUAGCUCCUCAAGCCUUUUUUGUAGUGAUUUUUCCAUGGCAUUCUUGUUCUGUUUACUUGUUUUGCACAUUUUAUACAUCAUCAUUCUCUCAUUUUUCCAUUGAAUUCUUAUUCUUAUUUUGCUUUAGCAUUAAUCGAACUUAACUAUAAUAACUCAACCAAAUUAUACCUAUCUAAUCCCUAUGGAGAUGAUAUCACUCAUUACUAUAUUACUUGAUCGACGUGUACACUUGCACGACUUGCAUAUCAGCUGUGCAACCAACACCUAGGAACUGUUGUUAUAUACGAACUCUACUGAGGGCAAAUAUCAUUCCCAGCUUCCUGCGAAUUCCACCACAUGGCUUGGUUGCAUGUCUUCUAGUACUUGGAUCACCCUCUCUUAUUGACCAUCUGUCUAUAAAUGAUAAGAAGUACUGAAAUUCAAUUUCCAACCCAAGGGUUCUUGUAAAAUUUUCCAAAAUCUCGAUGUGAAUCGUGGAUCUUGAUCGACGGUAAUAAAAACAAGCACGCCAUUAAGUCGUACAAUUUUUUUGAUGUAUAACUCCACCAAAUUUUGCAAAGUAUAAGUGAUGUGGACUUCAAAGAAGUGAAAAAUUUUAGUGAGACAAUCUACAAUCACCCAUAUUGCAUCUUUCUUUGUCAAGGUCAGUGACAAGCCGGACACAAAGACCAUGGUGAUCCUUUCCCAUUUCCACUCUAGAAUUUUGAUUGGUUGCAACAAUCCUAAAAGAUACUGAUGCUCAACCUUCACCUCUUGAAAAAUAAGACAUUUUCCACAUAAUUCAUAAUGACUUGCUUCAAGCUAGGUUACCAAUACAAUUCAUAAAGGUCAUGGAACACCUUAUUGCUCCCUGGGUGUGACACGUAAAAGUAGUUGUGAGAUUCUAUAAGGAUCGCAUAUUGAAGUUUUUCAUCACAGGGCACAUAUAGUCUUCCUACGAAACAAAGUAUCCCUUCUUUAUUCAGUGCGAAGUCCCCCUAUAACUUGGGGUUUGUGCAAGUGUACAUAGUCGUUAUCAAGUAAUAAGUAAGUAUCGAGUUAUCGUCACCACAGGGAUUGUAUUUGUGCUAAGUCACUUAAUUUGUAAAAUUAUAUUAACAAUUUGGUAAAUAGAAACACAAUAUAGUUGAGAAAUGGUGAUUAAAAUAUAUUAAACUAAAUGCAAUGAUCCCUAAUGCAAAUUAUCCUAAGUAUGCAAACUAUAUGAAUGAAAUAGAUUUUAGUAAAAUUUAACACAAUUUGCAACAAUUAUAACAUAAAUAAACUAGGACAAUUACUUUAAUUAAACUCAAUUUAUUAUCAACAUGCUUAAUAACAUUCGGAAAAACAUUCCAUGGCAACUCCAUCUUUCAUGAGUUUGGAAACCACCUUAGGUCCUUUCGAAAUCCUUUACUUAGUAAAUACACAUUUUAAUAAUCCUUAAUUACUAAGGGUUUCUUAGCAUUCGUGUGAGGUAACAGGGAUGUGUUAGGUUUGAAACAAUUUAAUCACACAAAUCUAAAAACUAUGCAGAUAACAGAGCUUGGUUAGAGUUGUUAUGCAACCUACAAUUCAAUCGGGUUAGGAUCUAAAUUAAGAAUGCACAUUUCAAUUAUGCGUCCAUUAGCCGUCGUCUGGUUAGGAUCACUCAACUAAUUCAAGUCCGUUUAAGUCACGUAUGAAUGAAAUACAGACUUGAUUUUAAUUGAAAACAUGAUCAAUUGAGGCACAAACAUUAUAAGCAUGAAUCAAAUAAAUAUUAUUUAAUCAAAAUAAUCAUCCUAGCUUAAAUAAAAUUAAGCAAUCAUUGUUGUAAACAAGAAAAAAGAGCACAUAGAAAACAUCUUUAAAUUAAAUUUAAAGAAGAGAAUGAUUAAACCCAAUUCAGAGUGGUUGUCACCCAAGACUCUGACUGACGAAGCUCAUUUGCUUCUUUGCGUUGCUCGUUUGCUGAUGGCUUUCCAAGGUGGCCAACUAAGGAUUCUUUAAGAGGCUUAAUUGCUAAAAUCCUUAUGCAAGGAUGAUGAAGGGGAAAGAUAGCUAAAAGAGUUGAGAGAAUGAUGAAUGAGUGAGAGAUGAUGGGAUGAGGGAUGAUUGAAAAAGAGAGAAAUGAGCUCUUAUUUAUAGGUGAGGCAAAGGAACUAGUUUGCUAAAAAUAGGAGUGUCUAUCCUUUGAAACUUCCUCCAAGAGUGGUUGGCCAUGAAGUGAGGAAAGGUGGCUGAUUUUUCCUUGAUUUUUGGUCAAUUUGAGUGCCACAACAACUCAGGACUAAGACUCGGUCAUCAGCAAAUCUUCGGGAAAAUCUCUGAUUUCUUUAACUCUUCAAGGACUUUGUAUAAUUAAACCAAAAAAUGGUUUAUGACAUCCAUGUGCAGCCAAAAAUUGGGUUGACUUGGUCCCCAAUUUGGACGAUUUUGCAAUUAGAAGAAAACUCUCAGCCCUGUCCAAAAAUAGUAGAUAGUUUAGAGGACCAAAUAAUAUAAUUUAACCACUCUAAUUAAUCAAUUUAUUUAAUUAAUUAAAACCCAAUUUAUUAAUGAAUUAUUAAAAAUUAAUUAUUAAAUAUAACUUUAUAUUUUAUUAUUUAAUUUAAUCAUGCAUGGCCCACUUUAUAGCUUAAAAAUAUAAUAUGCUUAAAUUAAUAUAAAAUAAGUCAUUUUAUGCAUGAAAACUAUAUAAUAAAGUAUAAAAUCACAUUUUAAUAAUUUCUAUGUCCUAAUUUCAUAUUUUCGCAUAUUUCAUUAAUUUAUUAAACAAUUACUUGGUUUUAACAACAAAUUUAAGUAAAAAGGUAAUGAAUUAUAUAGGAAAAAUCCUAUAUAUUUUUUAGUUUACACACCCCCAAACUUAAAUCAUUGCUCGUCCUAAGUAAUGUUCAUGCACAGCACAAGGUCUUACUAAGGCAAAUUUUGCUAAGAGUGUAAGUAGCAUCAAUCUUUGUUUUAUAAUCAUGCAUCAAUAAAUUCAUGCUCAUAGACCUUCUUUAUUAACAACUCAUAUACAAACAUUUUGAAAAUUUUAUUCUAAGUUUCAAGAUAUGCCAACAUGAAUCAUAGUUUGCAUGUAUGUCACAGUCAUAGAUAAUAUUUUUCAUUCAACACAAAUUCUCAUCAAUCAAGCAAAACAAUCAUAAGGCUUAUUUAUGAUCUUCAUAUGUUGAACUUAAUACUUCCUCUCCACUAAUGUAGGUGACAUAACCAUCAAAUCAAUAGGUCUUUUAUAAGGUUGUAAUGGGGCUCGGUUAAAGGCGGGGAUUUUAAGAGAUGGGACAUUUCGGUUUCAAAAUCUUAACUUUUAACUUGUCUUGAAUUUCUCGAAAUUCAACUUUUUUCUUCAAGUGAACCUAUGGAACUCCGUUUGAACUCAUACUCAUACAUUUUCUUUUUGGAGACUGAGCAAAUUUUUCUUCACUCUUUCUUUGUAUUUGUUGUUGCUAUUGUUUUUUUAAGCAUGAACACAUACAUCUUUAUGAAAAUUUCCUCAAAUGUUCAUUCCCAAGACAACUUUACUUAGGAUAAGUGCACAAAAUUAAUAUAAUUUUAAAAAGAUGGUACUGGCUUAUAAUGUAGGUUUAUUACAAUGAACAGGCUUUUAAGCUCAAAAUUAUAGUUUCAAGGGUCUAAUAUCAUAAGGUGGGCUUGAAAAGGCUUAAACGAUCCAAAGAAAAACGGUGUUGUAAUACCCCUUACCCAUGUUCCUCGUCGGAACAAAGUAUGAAGUAUCAUUAGAACACAAAUACGAAAAAUUAAUUUUUUUUUUACAAAAAUUUUGACAUAGUCCUCUUUAUAAAUACAUUACCUCACCUACACAUUUUCAGAUCAUAAUCCAACCAAUUCCAAUAUUCCAACCAACAUUUAUAUUCUCAAUUAUAUUCAAGUUAUACACAACACUUUAACUAUCAUCACUAGCAUUGCAUAAAAAUAAUUUAUCAUAUAACAUACACUAACAUUUAAACUAAAUACUUUGUAACAUACAACAUCUAGUUAAGCCAUCUAUACAUGUCAUAAUUUAGAAAUGUUGAUUUCAAAAUACCAAAAUAUAUGGAUAGUGUUAAUGAGUUCCCGACUAUUUCCAAAUUCUGAGUUGAAUUGGUAACACUAUAAAACAAGGAAAAAGAAAGAGGGGUAAGCAUAUAGCUUAGUAAGCAAGUAUGUGAUUAAUAAACAAAUUUCUAACAUGUUUUCAUAGAUGAUAUAAUUUAAAUCACACAUAAUUUCAUUAUUUGCACAAUUUCCAGCAAGCUGUUUUUAUGCAUCACAGUCACUAAAUUAUUUUUAUCUGGAGUUACAGGACUCCAAAUAAAGAUACGUAAAUUUUCCUUGAAACUAGACUCAAAUAUAUUAUUUCCAUAAAAUUUUUAGAAUUUUUGACUUGAUAAAUUAGUACAGUUUAUUAUUUAAAUUCACCCUUGUUUUACUACUCAACAUCACUGACCUCUUUUCACUAAAAAUGAAUUAUCUCAUUGUACAGAUUUUUAAUGAUAUUUUUGUUUAUUUCCUUUGAAAAUAGACUAAUUCAGGAUUUUAAACAUAUAAAUUAUAACUCAUAAUUAUUUUUUUACAAUUUUUAAUUAUUUUCCAAAGUCAGAAUAGGGGAUUCUGAAACCAAUCCAAACCUGCAUCACUAAAAUUCAAAUAUCUCAAAAUAUAUAACUCUUUUGCUUACUCUGUUUAUUUUAUGUAAAAAUAGACUCAUUAAGAUUUUAUUUCAUAUCUUAUUCACUCUCUAAUUCAAUUUUCACCAUUUUUGGUGAUUUUUCAAAGUCACACUACUGUUACUGUCAAAAACAGUUUUGUUGCUAAUUCUACUUUUUCAUAAUUUCACCUUUUUACUUUUAAUCACUAUUCCAUUCAAAAUUCACUUUUCCAUUUUCAAGUCAAUAUUCAAUUUAGUUCCACACAUAUAUGCACUUAUAAAUCACAUAGUCAUUUCAUCAUAUCAUGUAUUUCACUUAAUAAAUUUCCCGUUAACUUAUCGGACUAAAAAAAAUAGAUUUCUCGGUGGCCUGCACACAGUCCGUACCACCUUUGUGUAAUAACAGAUUCUCGGUGGCCUGCACAUAGUCCGUGUCACCCUUGUAUCUUAACAAGUUAUUGGUGGCCUACACAUACUCUGUGCCACCCUUGUGUCACAACAGAAUAUCGGUGGCUUGCACACAGUCCGUGCCACCCUUGUGUCAUAACAGAUUAUCGGUACGGAUAGUAGCCUGCACUUAGUUUGUGCCACAUAUGCGACCUAUCAGUCUGGUACACGUAGUGGCCUACACUUAGUCUGUACCACACGUGACCCAAUUACGACCAUUCAUAUCUUUUCUAUUCCGAGUUUCAAACGGAAAUUCUUAUUUUUCAAUCUUUUCCCAAUUCUUCUCUAACCAAUCUUAAUUUAUAAUUUACAUCAUAAAUUUGUUACACAUAUAACACAUCUCUUAAAUAAAAUAAUAAGACACUUAAUCAUAAAUAAAACAAUAUAUUAUCUACAUACAAACUUACCUCGGUGCAAAAUAUUGUAGUUUUUGCAAUUUAAUCCACGAUCUUUUCCUUUCCCCGAUUGAGGUUGACUUCUCGUCUUUCUUGAUCUAUAAUAGAAAUUUUAGCUUUUUUAAUAUUCACAUUUAUCAAAAUAGUCCGCAACUCACUUUUAGGAAAAUUAAGAUUUUGUCCCCAAAUUUUUGCAUAUUUACAUUUUUGCCCCAAAGGUCGAAAAUUAAAUUUUAUUACUUAUUCUUGCGUUUUAUAACAUGCUGAACAUUUUUCCCUUCUAUAGCAACAUCCAAUUCUCACUCUAACACUUACUUAUGUACAUUAAGUAUUUUUACCGAUUAUGUUAUUUUACUCCGUUUCACUUAAAAUCGACUAGCAAAAAUUGUUUAACAUAAAUUCUAGCUUCAUAUUCUACCAUAAAACAUCAAAAUACAUACAUUUCACAUAUGGGUAAUUUUUCAAAUUUCAACCCUAGCUCGAAAUAGCAGUAGAAAUAGGUAAACCGAGCUACGAGAAUCUUAAAAAUGCAAAGAACAUUAAAAACUAGGAUAGGAUGUACUUACAAUCAAGCUUGACAGUGGCCAAAACCCUAGCUAUGGAGACUUAGAAAUAUUCAGCCAAGCAUGGAGAAGAUGGACACAAUUUUUACCUUAUUCUCCCUUUUUAAUUCAUUUAAUUACUAAAUUACUAAAAUGCCCCUAAUUAAAAAAAAUCCUAUUUCACUUUUUUUUCAUGUCCAUUUUUUUCCAUCAACACACUAAUGGUCUAAUUCACAUAAGGACCCCCAAUUUAUAAUUUCAUAACAAUCAAACACCUUUAAUAUAUAGAACUCAACUUUUGCAUUUUUUACAAUUUAGUCCUCUUGACCAAAUUUAGUGCUCAAACGUAAAAAUUUUCGAACGAAAUUUUCACGAAAUCUUUCCGUGAAUUUGUAGACCAUAAACAUAUAAUGAUAAUAAUAUUCUCUUUUUUCAGAUUUGUGGUCCCAAAACCACUAUUCCGAUUAGGCCUUAAAUCGAGCUGUUACAGAUGCUUAUAUCAUUUUAGAUUUUUAUGUCCCUUAGGAUUUCACCUCAAGAAAGUUACUAAGUCAAUUCUAAAGAUAUAAACUUUUAUGCAUGUCUAAUCUCAAGAGAAACUAAGUUUUCAUGGCAAACAUUACCUAAGACUAAGAUCAUAAAAACAUUCCAUUUUUCAUGAUAACAUGCAAUCACUCAGAUAAAAUCAUCAUUCAUGCUUGCAUACAAGCUAUCUUAUUAAAAAUAAUUUCUCUAAACAUUUAUUUAUUAAGACAUGUUUGUGAAAGAAUGAUUUGAAACAUACUUGAAAAUUUUAAAAAUUUGAGCAAUUUGCCUUACCCCCUUUAAAAAGAAGUAAUGUCCUCAUUGCGAGAAUAAAGUAAUGAAUGAAAACUGAACACGAGGUAGGGUUGUCAAGAAAGAGAGGUGAGUCAUUAAGACUACUUAAAUACCAAGUCUUUCCUAAUAACACAAUCCUAGACAUGUUCAUUCCCAUUGCCACAUCACUUAAUCUUUUUCUUUCUAAAAAAGUAUUUAUUCAUGCUUGCUAUGUUUUAUUUUGCAAAAAUUAAAUCCUAUUUACUAAAGAAAUAAAUUCCUAAAGACCUAAAAAUAAUUAAAUAAAAAACAAGACAAGAACCCCCCCUUUUAUUUUUCUGACUUAUUCCCCUUGUCUUCUUUAGUUUCAUCUUCGCUUGCAUCGUCAGUCUCUUACGUCCAUGUCUCAAAGAUAGCAUCUGGGAACUCAGGAAAAAAAGUAUUAGAGAUAUUCUUAAAAGUAUUUCAUAUUGAAUCAUCUCUAAUUUUUGCAUAUUUCUAGUAAGUUUGUUGUUGAUUAUGCAUGAACUUACAUAUCCAUCAAAAUUGACAACUCUGAUUUCCUUGAAGUACUUGCAGAAGUCGACAUGGGAUUUGUAUAUUCAGGUUCAACACUUAGCUUGAUUGGUUCUUCUUUUGGCUCAACCCUAGGUUCAGGGUUUUCAGCUCCUUCAGCUGGUUGAGGACUAUUUGGUUUCUUGUCAGAUUCUUCUUCUUUAGUGUCUGUAACUGAAUCAGCUUUAGUUUCUGUUUUAUUUGUUCACUCUUUGGUUUCUACCUUAGUUGGUUCCUCUUGCUCACAUUGGUUCAACUCUUGCACUCUUUCUACCAACCUUUCAAGAUCAUGACUUGUAAUGCACCCUUGGACAUACUACCCCUUCAGAUUUUCUUGUGUUUUAACAUGGGCCCUUAAGCAAAGUGAAGUAAUUAAUGAUGGGAAAUAAGCACUUCCUGCCUUCUUUUUAGCACAAUCAUGAAUCUCCUUGAGGAUAAUUUUCCUAACAUUAAUGGACUUUUCUGUCAAGAUUGCAUAUAACAAGAGCAUUCGUUCCCAUUUGAGAGCAUUGAUUAUCUUUCUAAUUGGCAAAGGAACAACCAUCACAUCAUUGCUCUUCAAAUUAAAACUUUUUCUCGGCAUCAUAGGUUGAUGCUUGAAAAUUAAAUCAAAUCACUCUUUCACUUCUUUAUCAACCACAAUCAGGUUUUCAGGAGUAGUUUUUAACGAUCUAGUUCUUUUGCGAGACAUGGUACUUUCCCAAACAUUUGGCAGAGGUUCUGCGCAAGAGAGAAAAGAGAAAUCGGCAAAGUUGGUAUAACUUGCUAUGGCAAAAAUCUUGCGACAAUAAGGAUGGUGCGGCGGCGAUCUCUUUGCGACAGCAAUAGGGAAUUUUGGCAAAAAGAAAGGACUAGGGUUUCUUUCGGUAUUUGAGGUUAACGACACAAAAAAGAGAUUUAGGGAUUUUUAGGGCGGAAGCAAAUUGCUUUGCGGGAGAUGAAAAUUAGUAGAAUGAAGAGGGCUUUAUAUAGGGAAAAUUAGGGCAACAUGCAACAAAAAUUUAGCUACCUUAAAGUUACUUGGGCAGCAAGUAAUGGGUGUGACGGCAAGGCCUAGUUUUUUCCCUCUUUUUUUGCUAUCUUGGGCCUCAAACUCAUACUGUAUCUUAAAAAAAAUUGAUUAGUACUUGGGCCAAAUUUGACCCCCUUUAUUAACACAAAAAUUUAAAAUUUAAACUGAACAAAAUAAAACUUAAAAAUUUUAAUUAGAAAAUUUCUUCUUAACAACUUACAUUAAAUUAAUUCCCAGGAAAGGUUGGAGGGGUCACAGCGGUCCCGCUUAAGUUCCAAUCUCCUUAGACAGAAUUAAUUAAAUGUAAUAAAUUAAGAAAAUAAGAUCUAAUUAUUUAUUUAUUUACACAAUGAGUUCAUGAAAAAUUAAGGGUCUGUUAAGAUGAGUGAGGAUUCAGUUUGCUCAACUUCACCAUCCCAGUAGUGUUUGAGACGUUGACCAUUAACUUUAAACGUACCUCCAUAAUUGUCGUAUAAUUCAAUAGCUCCGUAAGGAUAAAGUCGGUAGAUGGUAUAGGGUCCUUUCCAUCGGGAUUUCAGCUUCCCAGGAAAUAACUUCAGCCUUAAAUUAAACAACAACACUUUCUGACCUUCUUUAAACUCGCGAAGUUAUAUAUGAGUAUCAUGCCAUCUUUUUUAUCUUUCUUUACACAUUUUGGCAUUCUUAUUGGAAAACAACCUCAGCUCUUCCAACUCAUCUAAUUGUAACGUCCUUCUCUCACCGGCCUAUUUUAGAUCAAAAUUUAACUGCUUUAAUGCCCAGUGAGCUUUAUUCUCCAACUCUAAUGGCAAAUGACAUGCCUUUCCAAAGACUAACCGACAAGGAGUCAUUCCUAACUGAGUCUUAAAUAUUGUUCGAUAGGCCCAUAAUGCAUCAUCGAGCCUUCGAGACCAAUCUUUUCUGCUAGGGUGUACUACCUUUUCAAGGAUACUUUUGAUUUCAUGGUUCACUAUUUCAACUUGUCCAUUAGACUGGGGGUGAUAAGCAGUAGCAAUCUUGUGCUUCACAUCAUAUUUAUCAAGCAACAACUUAAGUCAUUUGUUCACAAAGUGAGAACCUUCAUCACUAAUAAUAGCUAUUGGUGUCCCAAAUCGUGUAAACACAUGCUUAUGUAGGAAUCGCAUGACUACCUUAGGAUCUAACUUCUGAUUCAAAAAAUGGUCCUUCCGAGUGGCUUUGUUCAACUUUUUGUAAUCAAUACAGAUUCUCCAACCGAGAAUAGUUCUCGUCGGAAUUAACUCGUUACGCUCAUUUUCAACAAUCGUGAUUCCACCUUUCUUUGGCACACACUGCACCGGACUUACCCACGAACUAUCUGAAAUAGGAUAGAUGAUUCCUGCAUCUAACCGUUUGAUCACUUCCUUUCUCACAACUUCUUUCAUGAUAGGAUUGAGCCUUCUUUGCCCAUCAAUUCAGGUCUUUCACCUUCUUCUAAAAUGAUUUUAUGCAUGCAAAAAGAAGGGCUUAUACCUCGAAUGUCAGCUAUGGUCCAACCAAUUGCUUUCUUCAACUUCUUUAAAACAGCAAUCAGUUAUUCCUCUUGAUCUUUCGUUAGUUCUAUUGAAAUAAUCACAGUCAAAGUAAAAUAGUCACCUAAAUAAACAUAUUUCAAAAGGGAAGGAAGUACCUUUAGUUCAAGUGUAGGUUGUUCUUCGGUUGACAACUUGGGUUGCACAAAUUCUCUGACUUCUAACUCCAACAGUUCAAACCGUGUGGAUUGAAUAAAAUUUCUCGGAUUGGCUUCCAUCAAAGCCAUGUUUUUUCACCUUCUUCAUCCUCCAAAAGGUCAAACUCUAAGGCUUUCUCCAAUGGAUCUUUCUCAAAAUUUCUUUCCAUAGAAACCAAGGUUUCUAUCUCUUCCAUAACUGAACACUCCUCUAUCGGAUCGAGAAAUUUCAUCGCUUUAAGAAUGUUAAAGGUUACCUGAUCAUUUUGAACUCGCAUGGUGAGUUCUCCUUCCUGCACAUCAAUUAACAUUCUUCUCGUGGCUAGGAAAGGUCUCUUAAGGAUAAUUGGCACUUCCUUAUCUGCUUCAAAAUCUAAAAUAAUGAAAUCAAUAGGAAAAAUACAUUUAUCGACUCUUACCAAAACAUCCUCGAUCUUUCCUUCGCGAUAUGCUAACGAUCGAUCCACUAGCUGAAGCGUCAUAGUUGUAGGUCUUACUUCACCUAUCCUUAACAUCUUGAAGAUAGACUUAGGCAUCAAGUUGAUACUUGCUCCUAUUCACCAAUAUUAUAAGGUAUAGUAAAGCUUCCUGGGUCUUUCAAUUUCGGUGGUAGUUUGUUCUGUAGGAACGCACUGUACUCCUUUGUCAAGCCAAUAGUCUCAUACUCACUCAUUCGCUUCUUCUUGGACAGUAUAUCCUUCAUAAACCUUACAUAAUUUGGCAUUUAUUCUAAAGCCUCCACCAACGAGAUAUUGAUGUGUAACUACUUCAGAAUAUCCAAAAACUUCUUGAAUUGCACCUCUUAUUUCUGCUUGUGUUGCUACAAUCUUUACGAAUAUGGAGGUGAUGGAACUUUCGGUUGAAUCGGACAACUUUUCUAAGUAGGUAAAUCUGCAUCCAAAGAAGAUGUUAAAAUAUCUGAAUUCACUAAGUCAGGGUUUACCUUGUCAGACUUUGCAGAAUUGAUUCCUUUGGUGUAGGAACUUCAACAUCUGGUUGACUUUCCUCCUUUUCAGACUUUGCAGAAUCUGAUUCCUUUGGGGUUCCAGAGUCUUACCACUUCGCAGUACCACUACAUUGAUAUGUUCUUUACCAAAAUUCCUUGGAUUCUAAGUAUUGCUCGGCAAGGUUCCUUGUGGUCUAUUACGAAGCUCUGUAGCCAACUGACCCAUUUGGUUUUCCAAAUUUUUCAGUGUUGCUACUUGGCUUUGGAUCAAAGUGCCUUUCUUUGCUAUGUACGCUUUCAACAAGUUCUCCAAAUUGUUUGAUGCCUCAGCUUGAGGUGCUUUUGGAGCUUGCUGAUUAAACCCUUGAGAUUGGUUGGGUCUUUGCUGCAAUAAGUUUUUGUUCGUUCCAUUUCUUUGGUUGCUCCAAGAAAAGUUAGGAUGAUUACGCCAUGAAGGAUUGUAGAAGUUGGACUGGGGUCCUUGUCCACUCCUAUUUUGGUAUUGGUUCCCCACAUAGUACACUGACUCGAGAUUUGAUGGAGAAUUCUCAAAACAAUGACCUUCCCCAUAGUACACACAGGAAACUACUUCAAACGGACUUGGUGGCUGAGCUACAAAAUUAUUUGUACUAUUAGCGAUUAACUAUUUUAACAUGGAGGAAAUAGAUGAUACCUGAGCUGAUAACGAAGUGAGAGAAUAAACUUUAAGAACUCCGGCUACACGCCUUCCUAAAGUUGUUUGAUUUGUUGGCCAUUGAUAGUUAUUACUCGCGAUCCUCUCGAUAAUCUCAUAAUCCUCAUUAUAAGACUUAGAAAAAAUUGCACCAUUCGUGGAAGCAUCUACCAUCAAUCUUGUAUGUGCAUUGAGACCAUUAUAGAAUGUCUCCAACUGGAUACAAUGAGGAAUCCCAUGAUGAAGACACUUACGAAGUAACUCCUUAAAUCGCUCCCAAACCUCAUACAAAGACUCGUCAUUAAUUGUUGGAAAGUUGUGAUCUUAUUCCUUAACUUAGCGUUCUUACUAGGUGGGAAAUACUUAACCAAAAAUCUCUCUGCUAAUUCUUGCCAUGUAGAUAUGGAACUUGGUGGCAAUGAAUUGAGUCAUGCUCCUGCUCAGUCUCGCAACGAGUACGAAAACAAAUUCAACCUCAAUACGUCUUCAGUCACCCUAUCUAUCUUGAAUGAAUCACUCACCUCCAUAAACAAUUGAAGGUGGAGAUGUGGAUCUUCCGUUGGCAUACCACUAAAUUGGCCCACCGUUUCUAGCAUUUGAAACAUCACUGGUUUCAAUUCAAAUUGGCUUGCCUCAAUAUCUAGGUUUCUAAUUCCUAGGUUUAACUCACUGAAAAGUGGCACAGCAUAUUGACUGAUGUAUCGAUCCCAAACAUCGGCUAUAAGGAUAGGAUUUCGUACAUAAUCGGCUUCAUUACCUUAGUCUUUAUUCUGAUUUCCAUGGUCCAUCUCGACUUCUCUUUUAGUUAUUCGUUCACAUCUUCUUUGUCUGAAAGUUCACUCAAUUUCAAGGUCUACAGGGAGUAAAUCGAUAAUUCGAUCUAUGCUCAUAAACACCUGAGAAGAAAAUCACAAAAAUAAAAAAGAAUAAGUAAGUACUGUUAGAAAUAAAACAAAUUGAAAAUAAAUAAUUUCAUGAAAAAAGUGAAUAUGGCAAUAGUUGACAAUCCCCGGCAACGGCGCCAAAAACUUGUAACACUGGGGUUUGUGCUAGUGUCCACAGUCGUUAUCAAGUAAUAAGUAAGUAUCGAGUUAUCAUCUCCACAGGGAUUGUAUUUGUGCUAAGUCACUUAAUUUGUAAAAUUAUAUUAACAAUUUGGUAAAUAAAAACACAAUAUAGUCGAGAAGUGGUGAUUAAAAUAUAUUAAACUACAUGCAAUGAUCCCUAAUGCAAAUUAACCUAGGUAUGCAAACUAUAUAAAUGAAAUAGAUUUUAGUGAAAUUAAACAAAAUUUGCAACAAUUAUAACAUAAAUAAACUAGUACAAUUACUUUAAUUAAACUCAAUUUAUUAUCAACAUGCUUAAUAACAUUCGAAAAAACAUUCUAUGGCAACUCCAUCUUUCAUGAGUUUGGAAACCACCUUAGGUCCUUUCGGAAUCCUUUACUUAGUAAAUACACAUUUUAUUGAUCCUUAUUUACUAAGGGUUUCUUAGCAUUCGUGUGAGGUAACAAGGACGUGUUAGGUUUGAAACAAUUUAAUCACACAAAUCUAAAAACUAUGCAGAUAACAGAGCUUGGUUAGAGUUGUUACGCAACCUACAAUUCAAUCGGGUUAGGAUCUAAAUUGAGCAUGCACAUUUCAAUUAUGCGUCCAUUAGCUGUCGUCUGGUUAGGAUCGCUCAGCUAAUUCAGAUGCAUUUCAAUCACGUAUGAACGAAAUAUAGACUUGAUUUUAAUUGGAAACAUGAUUGAUUGAGGCACAAACAUUAUAAGCAUGGAUCAAGAAAAUAUUAUUUAAUCAAAAUAAUCAUCCUAGCUUAAAUAAAAUUAAGCUAUCAUUGUUGUAAACAAGAACAAAGAACACAUAGCAUACAUCUUUAAAUUAAAUUUAAAGAAAAAAAAGAUUAAACCCAAUUCAGAGUGGCUAUCACCCAAGACUCUAACUGACGAGGCUCAUUCGCUUCUUUAUGUUGCUCAUUUGCUAAUGGCUCUCCAAGGUGGCCGACCAAGGGUUCUUUGAAAGGCUUAAUUGCUAAAAUCCUUAUGCAAGGAUGAUGAAGGGGAAAGAUAGCUAAAAGAGUUGAGAGAAUGAUGAAUGAGUGAGAGAUGAUGGGAUGAGGGAUGAGGGAUGAUUGCACAAGUGAGAAAUGAGCUCUUAUUUAUAGGUGAGGCAAGGGAGCUGGUUUGCUAAAAAUAGGAGUGUCCAUCCUUUAAAACUUCCUCCAAGAGUGGUCGGCCUUGAAUUGAGGAAAGGUGGCUUAUUUUUUCUUGAUUUUUGGUCAAUUUGAGUGCCAUAAAAACUCAAGACUAAGACUCGGCCAUCAGCAAAUCUUCGGGAAAAUCUCUAAUUUCUUUAACUCUUGAAGGACUUUGUAUAAUUAAACUAAAAAUGGUUUAUGACAUCCAUGUGCAGCUGAAAAUUGGGUUGACUUCGUCCCCAAUUUGGACGGCUUUGCAAUUAGAAAAAAACUCUCAGCCCUGUCCAAAAAUAGUAGAUAGUUUGGGGGACCAAAUAAUAUAAUUUAACCACUCUAAUUAAUCAAUUUAUUUAAUUAAUUAAAACCCAAUUUAUUAAUGAAUUAUUAAAAAUGAAUUAUUAAAUAUAACUUUAUAUUUUAUUAUUUAAUUCAAUCAUGCAUGGCCCACUUUAUAACUUAAAAAUAUAAUAUGCUCAAAUUAAUAUAAAAUAAGCCAUUUUAUGCAUGAAAACUAUAUAAUAAAGUAUAAAAUCACAUUUUAAUAAUUUCUAUGUCCUAAUUUAUUUUCGCAUAUUUCAUUAAUUUAUUAAACAAUUACUUGGUUUUAACAACAAAUUUAAGUAAAAAGGUAAUGAAUUAUAUAGGAAAAAUCCUAUAUACUUUUCAGUUUACACCUCCUAAACUCCUUGUUCCACUUGGGGAACCCUCUUCGCCAAAUCCUCAUAUGAGGCUUGCUUUUCCUUUAUCUACUGCAAAAGGGUUGGUUUCACCUUUAAUUUUGCAAGCAGUCCCGCAUCGUAUGUCACACUCAAAUGAACGAACAGAGCUCACAGUUCACUCACUAAUUUUCAACUUAAGGCAUCUAUGACCACAUUCACCUUUCCUGGGUAAUAUUCUAUCACACGAUCUUAGUCUUUUAGUAUCUCUAUCCACAUCCUUUGUCUAAAGUUUAGUUCUAUCUAUGUGAGUAAGUACUUGAGCUCUUAUGGUUAGUCUAGAUAGUACACUGUUCGCCAUACAAGUAGUGUCACCAAAUCUUGAGUGCGAAGACCACUACUUCUGACUCCAUAUCAUGCAUUGGGUAGUUUCGUUCAUGAGGCUUCAACUGUUUGGAUACAUAUGUCACCACCCUUCCUUUCUAUACCAGUACGCAACCAAAACCCAAGUGCGAUGUGUCACAAUAGACUACAAUGUCUUUCUUAGGUUUUGGUUGAACCAACUCAUGUGCUUUAGUGAGUAUCGCCUUAAGUCUCUCAAAGCUUUUCUGUCUUUCUUUCGUCCAUGUGAACUCCUCAUAUUUCUAUGAUAACUUUGUUAAGGGUGUCGCAAUAGUGGCGAAUCUAUCAACAAAUCUGCGAUAGUAACCUGCGAGCCCUAAAGGCUUCGUACCUUUGUGACACUUCUUAGAGAUCUUCACUCUAGGAUUUCCUCAAUCUUCUUUGCGUCCACGCAAACUCCCUCUACUAAGACCACAAGACCCAAAAAGGCUACUUCCUUUAACCAAAAUACAUAUUUGUUGAACUUCACAAAUAGUUGCUUCUCACGUAAAAUUUGUAACAAUGUUUGCAAGUGAGCAUCAUGUUCUUCAUCGGUUAGCAAGUACACCAGGAUAUCGUCUUUUAAGACCACCACACACUAGUCCAAAUACUUGUGGAACACUCGAUUCAUCAAGUCCAUGAAUGCAACAGGUGCAUUUUUCAAUUUAAAGAGCAUAACUAGGAAUUCGUAGUGCCCAUACCUUGUGUGAAAAGCUAUCUUCUAAACAUUUGCUUCCUUAAACUUAAGCUAGUAGUACCAUGAUUGCAAGCCUAUCUUUGAAAAUAUUGUGGCACCUCGCAACUGAUUGAAUAGAUUGUCAAUUCAUGGCAAUAGGUACUUAUUUUUUACAAUCAAUUUAUUCAAUUAUCUAUAGUCAUUAGAGAUUCUCAGGUUUUCAUUUUUCUUCUUUACAAACAAUACUGGUGAUCCCCAUGGUGACACACUUGGUCAAAUAAAACCCCUGUCGAGUAGCUAUUGUAGUUGGAUCUUCAGUUCCUUAAUCUCUUUUGGUGCCAUUCGAUAAGGUGUAAUAGACACUGGCGAACUAUCUAGGUAUAACUCAAUGGAUGAUUCCACUUCGCAGUUUGGGGGUAUUCCAAGUAGCUCAUCUGGAAAUAAAUCAGGAUUGUCUUUCACCGUGCGAAUGUCACAAAAUCCUAUCGGUUUACUUGGUGAGCCCACCACAUAGGCGAGGUAGGCUUGGCAGUCUUUCCCUAUCAACUUCUCUGCCCUAAUUAUUGAGACCAUAUUGGACAAGAAUUGAGUUCACUCACCAACCAUCAUAAUUUCCAUCCCUUCACCAUUUCACAAGGUUACCCUCUUAAGUGCAAAGUGUAUUUUGGCUUUAUUCACAAGCCUUGUUAUUCCCUUGACUUUGCUAGUUGAUGGUUCUUGAUUUCUAAAUGCUGGGAUCUUAAGACUUACCGACAGAAUGAUUGACAGCAAAUUUAGGAGAAUAGCAUAUGAAAUUCCCUUAUUAGCAAGGACUUUAUUGGCUCUAAGUGUCCUAAUGUCCUUAGGAUACUCUAAUCGUAAUAGAAGUAAAAUUUAAUUACUUGCAUGGAUACUGUUGCAAAGAGAAAAGCAAGCUGACUUUUCUAACCGAGGUAUGACUCUACUUUGACUAUUCUUACUUAUGACUUAUAGCCAACAAUUGUAGUUUCCCGACCACUGGUGAUCCCUGCUUCGCCAAGCCUACUGGUAAUCUAAGUUCCCUAACUUCUUUAACAUACUCCAGCUCAUUAAGCCUUCUGGCAAACUCCUACUAGCCAAGCUUAUUGGCGUACUUUAGCUAGCCCAACUUGCUGGUCAUAUACCUUGUAACACUCCUAACCCAUCUUCAUCGUUGGAUUAGGGUUACAGAGUAUUAUAGUACAAUUUAGAACAUUCAGUAUCACACAGUGUCAAUUUUACAAUUUAAUUAUCAAAUUUUCAUAUAACAUUUAAAUUAAAGUGAAACAUACAUUUAUGGGCCUUAAAUCCAACCUAUGAUGCCUUAAAAAUAGUUUUGCAACAAUUAGGGACCAACUCGAUACAAAUCAAAAUAUUUGGGGCAAAUAUGAAAAGUUUGAAAAUAGGGGUCACACGUUCUAGUGACAGAGCCCAGACCGUGUGGCUCCAACCAUGGCCGUGUGGCUAUCCCACAUGCUCGUGUGCUCACUCGUGUGUCUGCCCAUGUAACUUAUUGACUUGGGUUACACAGCCAUGACACAGGUCGUGUGCCAGCUUGUGUGAACCCUACACCUAACAUGUUCGGGGCACACGACCGUGUGAUAGCUCAUGUCCCAGGCCAUGUGUGCCAAAAAUGACCCAAAACUUGCCCAUUUCACAUCCAAUUGAUUAGGUACCUAAUUAUACACUUACACACAUGUUCACAAGACUUUGGGAUGCAUUUUGAACCACUCAAAUCAAGUUAAUUAACCAUCCUAUGUGCCUAACCAAUGUGCCACCAUUGACACCACAUUUCAAUCGCAUAUCAACAAAUUAUCAAGCUAAACUUUCAACCCAUCCAUGCACACCACAUCAAACAGAAUAACUUACCAAUUCAUGCUUGAUUACCAUCAAACACUCAUACCUUCACUAUAAUUAAGCAUACAUACCGCAAAUAGCUACUUGACACAACAAUAUUACGAGUACAUCAAGCUACCACAUAUGUGCUUAAAACUAUCACAAAACAUCCACCACCUAUUACGUGCCUAUAAGCCAAAGUUACACUCAAAGUAUACCAAAAUCUUCUCAGAUACUGUGAUUCUUCGAGUUGAUUCGAUCUCCCAAUUUAAAAAAAACAUAAUCUAUAAAGAAAAAGACAAGGACAGGAGUAAGCUUACAUAAAGCUUAGUAAGUUCGUAGGUUAAAUGAUUAAUCUUAUCGAAUUAAAAUAAUAAUUCAAAUAACAAGGUUACUAACAAAUUUCUGGCCAAGCAUAACUCACUACAGGUGAGUAAUGCUCAAAAAAUAGUACAAAUCAAUUUCUCACAUUUGAAUAACAUUCAAUGAUCAAUAAAACAUUACUCGAUGAGCGAUAUACAAAUAAGAGUACUUGGUUAACCAUCCAGAACACACCAGACACUCAUAUGAGCCAAUCCAAUCAAUAACACACCUCGACACUGAGUGUCUAGCCCGUAGGCUAACAUAUGCCCCCGUAACACACCAGAAAAACAUUGUAAUAUAACACAAUAGUCUACAAUGUAUGUAGGACCUCAAUAUAUUCAGUGAAUAUAGGAUAUACAGAAAUCAUCAUCACAUCUCAUGCCAAUCCCGUCCAAUUUGCAAAACAACCUAUUGGCAUACCAAUCGUACUCUAUCCUACAUUAAUCGGCUCAACAUAUUCCAAUCAGUGAUCGAUACCAUAUCAAUUCAUUAUUUUCAUUCCCAAAUACAUGCAUCAGUAUUAUCCAUCAUUCUACAAUUAAGUUCAUAUAAUAUACAUUUAAAAUGUAUUAAAAUCGAACCGAACGAACUUACCAGAUUAAACUACAGCGAUGACAAAGGUACGAGGACUAUUCAACUUCUCUAUGCCUCGAUUUUCAGCCUAUUCUUGAUCUAGAAUAAUAAUUUCAUUCAAUUAACUAAUUCCAAUAAUGAAAUUAACUCAUUUUAUGCAACUAAGUCUUUCUGGACUAUUUGACAAAAUUGCCCCCAAUAUUUUACUUUUAUGCAAUUUAGUCUCUAAGCUCAAAACAUGCAAUUUAACCAAUUUUAAUUAAAACUAAGUUCAAUCGAAUUGUAUAGAACUCCACUACAACACAUAUUUGCUGUUAUUUCAUAUCAAUUCCUUGUAAUUUUAUCACUGUAACAUUUUAGUCUUUAAACAUUAAAAGUACUAAAAACUACUUUACAAAAUAGUCCUAUUUAACAACCCAGCUUAAUAAUCUACCAUAAAACUUCAAGAACAACUCAAACUCAUCAAUGGAAUAAUCUAUAACAUUUAAUAGUUUUACAAAUUAGUCCCCAGGUUAGCUAAAUCAAGAUAAUACGAGCUCAAAAACAUAAAAAUUACUAAAACGAGAUCAAGGAUCACUUACAUACCCCAACCCUAGCUUGACCAAAAUUUUUCAAGAACAACUCAAACUCAUCAAUGGAAUAAUCUAUAACAUUUAACAGUUUUACAAAUUAGUCCCCAGGUUAGCUAAAUCAAGAUAAUAGGAGCUCAAAAACAUAAAAAUUACUAAAAUCGGGAUCGAGGAUCACUUACAUACCCCAACCCUAGCUUGACCAAAACUUUCUUCUCCCAUAACAAUGGCCAUUUGAUUUCCAUAAGAAAAGAACAGAAGAUGGUAACUUAAUUUAGUAUUCUUUUAAUUUAACCUUUUAUUUACUUAAUUUACAAUUUUAACCUUUACAUUAUGACUUAUAAAAAAAAUAAAACAUGUCCAUAUUUUUCCAUCAAAUGAGAAUAUGGUAUAAUUACCAUCUAAAGGGAUUUAAUUGCAUAAUUGGUCCUUUAAUUUUUUUAAAUUUUUAACUAAACAAGCUUAAUUUCAAUUUAACCCUAAACUAAUUAGGACUAAACGAGCAAAUAGCCCAAAAGCUAGAGGAUUAAUCAUAUCCACCACCGCUUGGAACUUUUUACCAUGAUUUAAUCACCAUUUUGGUCUAUUUACUAAUUUAAAUCUAUAGCGAUUAACUUUUACCACUUUUACAAUUUAAUCCUUUUACCUUAAUUAAGCAACCAAUUGUCAAAAUUACCUUACCAAACCUCAAUUCUCCUAUAAUACGACUCUAUAAACAUUUAAUAAAAAUAUUUACGGCUUUAAGUUACGGAAAUGGGUCCCAAUACCUCAUUUUUAAAAAUCACUUGACUUUUAGAUUGAACCACAUAUACUAACCAUUAAUUCAAUUAAUUAAAAUUCAUCAAAUGAAAAUUCAAUAUAAAAAUUAUUAUUGACUCGUGUAAUUUAAAUACUAAUUUUAUGAACAUACUCAUCAUAUUUAUGGUCUCGAAACCACUAAAAAAUGGGUUUUUACAGACUUGCUCAUAAAUCUAAUGUUGUAUACAUGAUUAUUAUUUCCUUUGGCAAGCCCCUAUUCACUGAUCUUAUUGAUGAGUACCUAUUCGUCACACUCUUGGGCAAUUUCCUAUUCGCCAAACUCUUUGGCGAACCCAGCUCAUCUGGCCCCAUACUUUUAGGCCUUACUUCAAGAUGUUACAAUUGCAAACCCAAACAAAACUGUCUACAAGCAAAGAUAAGGGAAAAGCUAAGCUUCCCUAAGUUUUCAGCGAAUUGGUGAGUGUUCAAGGAUAGCCACUUGUAUUUCAAAUCAUAAUGUUUAUUAGGAGCUUAGGGUUUUGACCUAAUUUCUGAGAGUAAGUAUUUUCUAUAACUUUGUUUAAUGAACGUAUUUAAAUAUGUAUUUUUAUGAACAGUAAUAUGUUAGCUCUACAUGGUGAGCUCCAUAUGAUUUCAUGUUUUGCAAGCUUUGUGUUAAGUAAAUGAUUUGACAAGUUAACCUUCUAAAUCUAUUGGAUAUAAUGGCAUACCAUAGGAUACUGAGUACUCACCUUUAUGUUUUAUGUUUUGGGUAUUGAGCCUUGUGACAGUAUGGAAUGAUUUUUUAGCCUUGUUCUACACUUAUAAGACAUGUUAAGGACUCGUUGAGUCAUUCUAAGGCGUUAUAAUGAGAUUCACUUAUCCAAACGGAACAAACAAGUGAAUAAGAUUGUGUUUCUGAAAGCAUAAGUUUUUACUAAGUUAGCUGACUGUAAGUGUUUGCGAACCAGGCUUCACACAAGUCUGGCAAGCCUUGUAGAUAGUUCAGUAACUAUGUCUAUGUUUCUAUUUAACUUAUGUUUUGCCCGUGCUUUGUAGUUAUUCUUUCCUGUUUGAUGUGAGCCUGACUACGUGGGCCUUUGAUUGGGCAAAACUCAAUUCUCUUCUACGUGGGCCUUUGAUUGGGCCAAGACUCAAUUCUCUUUCUUUAUUGGGCCACAAAUUAAAGGGCCAAAUUGGGUUUUUACCCUCAUAACACAAGUUGGGUCUAAACAUGAAGAUUGGACCAAACGUGAGGGACCCAAAUGCAAGCUGAAAUGCAACCUCUUCGAAGUGGUUGUCUCGGCCAUAUUUUCCAGCCACUUAGUAGUGGAACUUCAGUUUCCUACUUAAUUUCUAUUAUGAAUGUUUUAUUUUUUUGUGUAUUAUAGUUUUAUGUUUUAAUAAUGCUCAUGCAUGUUUUGAGCUUAAGUGUUUAUGUCAUUUGUUCAUUUCUCAUGUGUCUGUUAUUUUUAUUUCGUAUGUUAAGAUAUGUGAUUGUUUAAUUUUAUGUGUCAUGUCAUGUGUUUUUUCUUGUGUUGAAAUGAGCUUAUGUUUGUUCUAUUUAUAUGUGAUUUAGGUACAUUAGCUGGCCAUAUUUAUACCAUACAUGUACCUUGUGGAUUUUCACCUUGUUCUCUAAAUUCAUGUACGACCAAGGGAGGAUGAAUGGAUUAAACGCAUCACAUUGAACUCGAGAGAUACAUUGGCAAGAAGGGAAGAAAGUCCAUAAACAUGUAUCAUCAAGGGGGGACAUUUUUUUUACUAUUCGGUCGAUUCAAUGAAUGCCAAGAUACAUGUACGAUUAAGGGAAACGUAUGUGACUUAUGUAGCAUAUGUUGAACCUUGAAAAUGCAUGGAUGAUAAUUAGCAGAUGCAUGGAUGGCAAAGGGGAAGAGAAUGUGACCAUUCACAUAAACGUUGAACAAUUAGAUGCAUGCAUGUCAAGGAGGGAAGCAUAAGACUUUUUGUUCAUUUAAUGUAUGAAUAAAUACAUGAACUCCUUUGGUUCAUGAAUGGGUUUGAUGCAUCUAAUUAUUAUUGGAAAAAUUUUUCCAUUCAUCUAUCUUAGUAGUUUUCCUAUAAAUAGUUGUGAUUGUAGACAUUUGAAGGCUAAUGAACAUUUUAUAUAUUUGAGUUAAAUCUCUUUUGUUCUUUGACAACUUAAAAAUUGAACUUAUCUAGAAUUGUUUUCUUCUAGUGUUCACUACCUUCAAUCUUAUCACUUCCCUUCUCACCUAUUUUCAAAGUGUGCCAAUCAACCCUAUAUCAUUGGUUCAUAUCUCUUUAUAGAUAGUGGGUCACAAUUCUUAUUCGUUUCCCAAAAUUUUUGAGUUUUAAACAACUUUAUAGAAAUUGGGUCUCGUCAUUAUAUAACGUAGGAUAAUUUCUAAGCUUGUUUCAAGUUCGAAAGUUAUAUCCCUUUUAUCACAUUGUUUUUUAUCCUUCUUUUUUCCACUCUUUUAUAAUAUUUCAAGAGUUUGAUCACAUAAGAAAUUGUAACGCCCUAAAACCAACCUAGACAUUACGUCUGAAUCUCGAAGAUCACAUUGGCCAUGGCAAUGGUGUGAAAAAUCAUUUAACUAUUUCUCCCAACUAACGUCGUUACUAAAAAAUUGUCAUUUUGAUUUUCUUGAGAAAAAUCAAAUAGUACCUUCAAGUUUUCUUUUGGAAAAAAUUUGUCAAAAUCGAUUUUCUUGAGAAAACUCUAGUUUCGAUUGUUUUUAGAAAACAUCAUGUUUCAAAACAGUCACAGCAAAAAAUAUUUUACCUACAUCUCACUCAUUGAUUUGAAAUCAUAAUUUUGACAUAUCUUGUAAAAUAUCAGUUAAAUGAGAAAAUAGUGUUGAGUUUUGAAAACAAAGUCUUGAGUAUGAAAUAACGAUUGUUAAGUUGAGUUUGUCGUUAGGUUGAAAAUCCAGUUUUUCUUACUAAAUUCAUAAAUAGUCUUAGGUGAACAACAUUACAAUUGAGUGACGUUUUCUUUUAAAAAUAAAUAAAUUUUAUUAAAUAUUUUUCAAAGAAAUAAAAUUAGUCAAUCUUAAAAAUUUUACUUUUCAAACUCAAAACCUUUAUUUUCAAGUAAACAAAUAAUUUCGCACUUCGUUAACAUAAUUACUAAGAUUCAGCCAUAACGUCUAGACCAGGUUUGGGGAGUUCCAUUUAAUGGUAUUAGAGCCCGAUUCAAAACUCAGACUGUGUAUUUUAAUGGGUCUCUAUGCAUAUUUUAAAAGAAUUUUUGGCAAACCUUUCUUUCUAUUAAAUUUAAAGAUUUUUAAACCUCGAAAAAUUAAAAAUUUGAGACUCCCAAAGCUGAUCCAAGAUAAGUACUCCUUACUUAAGAUUAUGAUAUUUUAGAUAGUAUGUUUUCAAAUAGUAAAAACUCUGAUAAAAAAUAUUCAAGUGAUAACAUGGAAUUUACUUUUGUAAUUGUUAGAUAAUUCACAAAAUUUAAGUACUAUGAAUAAUCAAGGGGUUAGAACUCGUGGUGCACAUCGUUGUGCGGCUAAAGAAGAGUCAUUCACUAUUCGAUUGCCUAUACCAGACCUCAGUGUCAACGAGGAUGAUCCUGUUAUAGAAAUUAUGAGCGAUGUGCCUGAGGAAUUUGUUAAUGGAGAGGAAAAUCAUGAAUCUGUUGAUGGUAUGAUUUCCCAAACACUAUUGAGGGUUUUAUAGCGGGUUGUUAAAGGCCAACCAGAAACUGGAAGUCGUAAGUCUAUUACUGAUAGGCUUCGGUCGAGUAGAGUCGAAGUAUUUAGAGGAGUUGCUAGGACGACCCUUACGGUAGCUAAGUACUAGAUUUCAUCUAUUGAGAGGAUCUUGGAUAAUUUUUACUAUACCCUAGAACAUAAACUUAAGGGUACAGUGUCUCUUUUGAGAAAUGAGGCAUUUUGUUGGUGGAAAUCUAUCAUGGAAGGUACCCAGCCAAAGAAGAUAACUUUGGAUUAUUUCAAAACUGCCUUUCAUAAAAAAAAUAUGGGAUCGAGGUAUGUUGAAGCCCGAAAACUUCAUUUUAUUAAAUUGAAGCAAAGGGACCAAACCAUAUCCGAGUAUGAGGCUGGGUUAUUAAGCCUGAACCGGUAUGCACAAGGGGUGGUAGCUUCAGAGUAGAACAACUGUGUUAGAUUUGAGAAUAGGCUGAGGUAUGACCUCAAGGUCCAAGUUGUCAUAUUGUAGGAGAGAGUCUUCGAGACUUUAGUAGACAAGGUGAAGAUCCUUGAAAAGGUGAAAUAGGAUAAGCAAGAUAGAAGAGAUAAGACCAAGAAUCUAGUGAAGAGAGAUUUUGGUCUGGGAAAUUCUAAUCCAUGCCCAGUGAAGAGGGUCCGUGAAAAUAGACCACGUCAGUACCCUGCUAUUGCAAGUAACAGAAAUUAGACCCGCAAUUAUGCUUACUGUGGGAAGUCUCACAAUAGGAAAUGUUGAAAGAGCAAGGGAGCAUGCUCUAGGUGUGGGGCGUGGCAAUAACAAAAUGAUAAUAGUGGGUGGAGGACAAAUGGUCAAGGUACGAACUGCACUAAUGUUAGACAGCCCACCUUGGUUUAUGCAGCAAGGCACCAAGAGGACGGUAAUGCGGCUGAUGUUAACGCAGGUACUUUUAUAAUAAAUUUUGUACAAUACUUUGCUUUGAUAGAUAUAGGAUCAACUCAUUCUUAUGUUUCCUGCUCUAUGACUGAUAAAUUGGGAGUUCUAGUGGAAAUUAAUGUUAGCGGCAUAACUGUACUCAGUCCCCUAGGACAAUUUAUGUAUGUGAAUAAAAUAUUUAGGAGAUGUCCUCUAGAAAUUUAGGGUGAGUUGUUUCCAGCUGACUUGAUGGAGCUGCCAUUCAGUGAAUUUGAUCUUAUUUUGGGCAUGGAUUGGUUGAAGGAGCAUCGAGUUAGCCUUGAUUGUGAUACAAAGUCGGUUACUCUGAGGAAUUCAACCAGAAAGGAGAUAGUUAUGAUCUAUAAGCACCAAUAUUACUUGUCCAAUGUGAUCUCUACUUUGGUAGCCGAGAAAUUAGUUCAUAAAGGGUGCGAUGCCUAUUUGGCGUACAUUCUGGAUAUGAAAGCUGAUGCCUCAAUGUUAGAAAGCAUAUGUGUAGUGAAAGAGUUUCCUGACGUCUUUCUAGAAGACUUGCCAGAUCUACCUCCAAAAUGCGAGGUUGAUUUUGGGAUUGAGUUGCUACUUAGGAUAGCUCCGAUGUUUAUUGCUCCCUACUAAAUGGCACCUAAGAAGCUUAAAGCAUAGUUGCAAGAGUUUUUAGACCAUGGUUUUAUCUUGGAGAGCUCCAGUUCUACUCGUGAGGAAGAAGGAAAAUGGUAUGCAUUGAGUGUUAACUCGGUCUUCCUGGAAUUUUCACAACAUUCGUGCUGAAAAAAUGUCUAACCUUUUGCCCUGGUAAAACUUCACUCCUUUAUUUCUCGUUCCUCAACCUACACCUGCAAAAGCACCAAACACAACCCUACCACAAGCAAUUAAAAGUACCUAAUAUUUAAACAAAGUCCAAGCUCCUAAUGGAAUGAUGAAGAUGUGAAUGAAAUGUCCUAAAAUGCAACUAAAUGUACCUUGGUGCAAGUAAUUAGCUAGGCCUUAAAGCAUGAAAUAUAAAUUUUUUCAAGAGUUAUCACACCCUCAAACCUGAGUUAUUACUUUUCCUCAAGCCAAAUACAUAUGAAUGCAUGAAUCCAUAAAUUUUUACCCUUCCAUAUAACUAUCUUAUACUGUUAAUCUAUUAAAAGAACAACAUAUACAUCAGUUCUCAGUAGUCUUCUUUCUCUAAAAGCUUUAUUGAAUGUCAAAGGUUCAUUUCAAAAAAGGUAGUGUAGAAAAUUUGUCCCUAAAAAUAAAUUUCCUAAAUACUCAUGUAUGCUUUCUGGCCAUAGAAAAUAUCUCCUAAUGCACUCAGUCCAUUUGUAACCUAAACUGUAACAGCCUAUUUUUAGUGAAAUCGAGACCACAAAUCCUACGUGAAAAUAUUUAUAUUAUUAUUUUAAUGUCUAUGGCAUGUUAAUAGUGUCAUUUGCAUGCUUAAUUUAGUGAGAAUGGCUAAAUUGUAAAAGGUGUAAAAGUAGAGUUCUAGUAGCUAAAGGUAUCAAAUAGCUAUAGAACUUUAAUGUAAGAGUACUUAGGUGGUAAUUAGACCAUUUAUGUGGUAGUGGAAAUUUAUGGGUUUGGUUUUAUUAACAUUAGGGAUACUUUUAAAGGUUUAAAAUGUAAUUAACUAAAAAAAGGUUAAUAUAAUAAAAACAAAAUAAAGAAAUAAGAUAUCUUCCUAUCUUCAUCCUUAGCUGAAAUAUUCAAGGGAAACCAUAGCUAGGUUUCAGUCAAGCUAUAUUCACCGGUAUGUAAGUGGUUUUUGUUUCGUUUUAAUGAUUUCUAUGUUUUUGAAGUUGUUGUAGCUUAAUCUAGCUAGCCCAGGGACUAAUUUGCAAAACUAUUAAAGGUUUAAGGUUUUACCAUGAAUUUUCUUACAUGAUUUAAGAAGUUUGAUGAAAGAUUAUGAGUCCUUGUGGUUAAAUAAACAAUUUUUGUAAAGUGAUUUUUGAUGAAUUUGUCAUUUAAGGACUUAUUUGUAAAAGUAGUAAAAUACCAUGAUAAAUUUGUGAAAUGUCGAUUUGUAUGAGGUUGUAUGAGCCCCUAGGCAAAUCAACUAGCAUGAUAUGUGGAUGAAAUUGCAUAAAUGACAAUUUACGAGCUUAAGGACUAAAUUAUAAAUAAGUUAAAACAUUAGGGGCAAAAAUGUACAUCUGCAAUAGUAUGAAUUUUGGACUAAAUUGAAUAGUAUGUGUAUUAAAAAAUAUUGAAUUUUCUUAUUUAGAUAAAGAUAAACCUUGUACGGAUUUAGAUCGAGGAAAGGCUAAAGUCUCGGAUUAGUGAUCCUAUUUUGACGUCUUUGUAAUCAAGGUAAAUUUGUAUGUUUAAAUAACAUUAUAAUGUUAUUUUGAUAUUUAUGCAUUGUAAUAUAUAUCAUGUAAAGAAAUUAUGAGAAUCCAAUGACGUUACGAUGACUAUCGAGCUCCGUUUGAACCUUAGGAAUAUAUAGGAUACAAAUGAAAUGUCAUUAAGGUUACCAUGUUUCGGAUGCUGGUCUUGAAUGUCCUACCAAUGGAUGAGCUCUAGAAUUUUUUGCUGAUACUCACCAACUUAUGUGAGUGGCAUUGUGUAGCUACAUUCUGAUCGUCAACUUGUGUGAGUAGACCUAUUUAUGGCUUGAGUGAGCAAUGAUGUAAAGGAAAAGGAAUGGUUUCAACCAUAUGUUUAGCACAUUUUGUGUGAGCUUCCCGCGUAUCCAAUAUUGUUCUAAGUGGUUCAACGGGUAUGAAAUGGGAAGGAACGGUAAGUGUUCCAUUGACUACAUUAUGAACUUAUGGAAAGGUAUGAAUUGAUAAUGAUCAGAGUAUACAUAGUUAUGUUUAUGGAAAGUAUGAAUUCAAAUGUACUAUGUUCAUGAAAUUUACCUUACCAUGUGAUGCUUUUGUUGAGUUAUGUGUUAAGGCACUAACUUAUGUUGUUGAUGAUGCUUGGGCUUGUGUCAAGCUUAUUUUGGAUUGAUUGAUGUUUAAAUUAUGAGGUUUUGCAUUGAAAUGGUAAGCUAUGUUCAUGAUUUACGAACUUACUAAGCAUUAUAUGCUUACGUAGUUUUCUUUUCUAUGUUUUAUAGAUUAUCGGAAGCUCGUUCAGUUUGGAAGUUCGUUAGAGACCUAUCAUACUAUCCGGCGAUUAUAUCGGUAGAUUUUGAUGUUUUGGUCAAGGUUACAAUGGCAUGUAUAAAUGGACUUCUGCUUAAUGAUCUAGUUGUUUUGGAAUGUAUAAGUGUUAUUAUGGUUCAUGUACUUAUGGUUUUUUGAUGCCUUGAUGGUUGGUGUUAUUAUGGCCAAGAUGUUGCAUGUUUUGAAUGAUCAAUUUGGUAUGUGAUGGUGUAUUUUCAAUGUGAUCAAUUAAGGUAUGUUUUUAGUUGAAAUAAGUAAAAUGUGUAAGGUUGAUGAAUGGUCAAGUAUGCAUAUUUUUUGUAGGUUUAAUGGAUUGUAAUUAAGGUGUCUUAUUGGCAUAUUGGUUGCAUGGAUUAUUGGUAUAGAGAUUUGGUCAUUUGAUGUAUGUUUUGGGCAUGUUUUAAGGUCUUGAUUAUUUAUGCAAUUGGCUUGUAGGUACAUGUCUAAAUGGGUGAAAGAAAUGGUUUGAUUUUAGCCAAUUCUUGUCCACACAGCCUAAAACACCGGCGUGUGUCUCAGUCUCUUGUGACACACGGCCAUGUGACACGGUCGUGUGUCCCUUGUAGGUAUUAAAGGUUUCAAGUCAGGCAGUUACACAGCCUAGCACACGUCCUGGUACACAGGCUUGUGAGGCCAUUUCGAGUGUUACAUGGCCUGGCACACGGGCGUGUGGCUUGGUCGUGUGACCUAACUUAGAGAAUUACAUAAGCACGAACACGGGCUGGGACACAGCCGUGUGUCCCUAUUUUGAUUGUUACAUAGCCUGAGACAUGGGCGUGUGUCUCAGCUAUGUGAGUCAUAUGGCAGUGUGACCCCUGCAGUUUUGAAUUUUCUAACAUUUUCCUGAUUUAGUCCUAAAUCAUUUCUAAAGUGUUUCUAAGGCCUCGAGGGUUCGAAUAAGGGAUGAUAUGACUGUCUAUGAAUGGAUUAUGCUAUGAUUAUUGUAAUGUUUGGAAAUGAAUGCUUUUAGGUUAUGUUUAUACAGUAAUGCUCUGUAACCCUAUUCUAGUGAUGGAUACGGGUUAGGAGUGUUACAUUUAGUGAUAUCAGAGCUAUGGUUUAGUUGGUUCUCAGACUGAACGUAGUGAGUACGAGUCUAAAAAUACAUGUCAUUAUAUAACCUGUGAUUGUGUGGUAACUCCUAACUCAAUUUGAACUAUACUUUUAUAUAGAUAAUGUCAUCCAACCAAGUCGAUUCCGAUGAGGCUGAAAGUAUCGCGCAAGCCUUUGUUCACGGAGCAGCGUUGAGUGGAACUAGACCCGUAUUUAAGGUAUGGGGAGGAGAGGCUAAGGAAACCUUCUUCCAGAUGAUGAAUGAGUGGUUCACCAAUUUUCUACGAACGAACCCAAUGGCUCAACGACCUCAACCCCUACAUAUUCCCCAACCAAUCCCUAUAGUUCCUCAAGGUUUUGAACCAAUACGGUUAAGCAAGCCUCCAGUUGAUAAAAUCCGUAAAUAUGAGGCUGAAGAGUUUAGAGCUACGUCUAAAAAUGAUCCAGAGAGAGUCGAGUUCUAGUUAGAAAAUACAAUCAGGGUUUUCAACAAAUUAUCUUGUACGCCGGUAAAAUGUGUGAAAUGUUUUGUUUCCUUACUGAAAGACUCAACCUAUCAGUGGUGGAAUACCUUGGUUUCUGUUGUGUCGAGAGAAUGAGUAGACUAGGAAUUCUUUCAAACUGAGUUCUAUAGCAAAUAUGUGAGUCAGAGGUUUCUUGACAAGAAACGCAAAGAGUUUCUCAAGCUUAAACAAGGCCAGAUGAUACUAUCUGAGUGAGAGACGGGAUUCGUUUGAUUGAGCAAGUAUGCCCGAGAAUGUAUACUGACUGAGAUUGCCAUGUGUAAACGAUUUGAAGAUUUGCUGAAUGAAGACAUGAAGCUGUUAGUCAAGAUUCUAGAAUUGAAAGAAUUUUUUAUUAUAGUUGACCGAGCACACAAAGCUGAAGAAUUGAGUAAAGCUAAAAGAAAAGUUGAUUAUGAGGCUUGUGAUUUGAGUAAGAGAUCGGCGGGAUAAUCAUCUCAUUUAUCGUCAAAGAAGUCAAAAGAAUAUCAUAAUCAUUCGUUAGCUUCAGUGGGUCAUUCUGGUAGAGAUCGAAAAAAAUAGCAUGCGAAUUUAAAACCUCAAGCUACUCUAUAUCAAGCCUAGCACACGGCCUAGCACACGGACGUGUGAGGCCAUUUUGAGUGUUACACGGCCUGGCACACGAGCCGCUGGCUUCGCCAUGUGACCAAACUCAGAGAAUUACACGGGCAUGGACAUGGGCUGGAACACGGCUGUGUUUCCCUAAUUUGAUUGUUAGAUGGCCUGAGACAUAGGCGUGUGUCUCAGCCGUAUUAGUCAUACAGCCGUGUGACCCUUGCAGUUUUGGAUUUUCUAACCUUUUCCACAAUGUUUCAAAUGUUCUUGAUUUAGUCCCGAAACAUUUCUAAAGUGUUUCUAAGGCCUCGAGGGUUCGAAUAAGGGGCGAUAUAAAUGUCUAUAAGUGGAUUAUGCUAUGAUUAUUGUAAUGUUUGGAAAUGAAUGUUUUUAGGUUAUGUUUAUAUAUUAAUGCUCCAUAACCCUAUUCUGGCGACAGAUACGUCUUAGGAGUGUUACAUAAACUCAAGUUACUUUGCUACCCUUGCUCACAACCUUUUCAAGAUAUUUAUUUGUACUUGUUUUUUCUCUUCUUUAUUAUUAUUAUUUUCUUUUUCUUUUCUUUUUUCUUUUAGCAUGUCACAAAAUUCUUUGACUUGAUAUUCACAAUGGAGCAUACACUAAAUUACCUAGCUCUCUAUCAUGUCAUAAUUUAAAUAUAAAUCACUUGUGAAGCUAAGGCUUUUGACUAAAAAGAUGGAUAAAGUAAACAACUACCUUCUUAGCUACUCAGUCUGUUGCUAUAGUGAAGUACCCAUUUUCUUUAUUACACACUAUUACUUGGACUGACCUUUCUAGUUAACAGCACAGUGGAGCAAAUAAAAUGGUGCUAACUUACUCAACAAUUUUAAGCAUUGGAGUGCCUACUGUCCUUUAUUUAAGUAAUGUCAUGGCAAAAUGACUGAGUUUGGCUUCAAAAACCCUAAAUUCAUCAAAAAGCCCUUGCUAUUAAUCAAAAAGGGAAAAAAACUAAGUAUAGGACAUCUCAUUUUUAAGAAUUAAUUUUCACGCAAUCUAACCUGAGCUAAACUCGCCUCAUCCACUAUCACAUGUUCUAGAUAUACUGAAGAAUAUAAGCUCAUCAUCGAAUAUCACAAGUAAAGAUUGAAUUUCUCGCAGAUAAAACAGUAUUUAAUAAUCACAAGGCAUUGGAAAACAACUUAACUAUACUAGGAUGAACAUACAUACUAGAUACGUAAUGCAACCUAAAUGCACAAUACAUCACCCCAAACUUAAGGGAUGCAUUAUCCUCAAUGCAUGAAUAGAUAUAUGCAAACUAUCUAUGUACAGACAAUGUCAUGACAAAAUAUAUGCUAUGCAAUAUGUCUGAAAUAAAACGAAAACUUUCCUUGCUUGGACUACAUUGUAGAUACUUCAUUAUGUCUGACGAGUUGAUUUAUGAGCAGCAACCUUGUACCUUUACUUCCUCUUCAUCCUCACAGUCAGUCUCAAUACUGACAAACUUUAUUUUCUCUGGUUCUUCCUCUGAUGCUUUAGGCGCAUUCUCUUAAUUGGUAGGAUUUGUCAAUGGGCUCUGCGUCACCGACCCCAUCCCCUCUUGCAGUUUAUUAAACAAAGGAAAUAAAUUAACUAAGAGAAAUUUAAAUCGAAAAAAUAAAAUAAAAAUAAAAAUAAUUUUCAAGAUGUUGAAGUUAAACAUCUCAAAGAUCAAUAGACUAUUUGUCUCACUCUACAUAAGCACCCCAAUAGUGUUGCAAGCGUUGUCCAUUAACUUUAAAUGUGUCCCCUAUUUUCAUGUACUUGACAUCAACAACUCCAUGUGGGAUAUAUAUGAGCUACCAAGCAUUAUUCAUCAAAAUUGAAAGGUUUAUUUUGCUCCAGCAAAGUGUAUAAGGGUCUCCGCUCAAAUGAAUCUUUAUCACUAUCAGAACUGAUGUGGCAAUAUAUCAUGAACUCUUCCUCCACUACUGUUUCUAUUAAGUCAAUGGCAUGGCAUUCUUUAUUAUCAUCAAAAUAUUUUUGUGCAUUAAAUACAUUGAAUGUGACCUAUUGAUCAUUCAUCCUCAUGGUCAAUUCACCUUUCUACACAUCAAUUGAAGUCCUGCCUGUAGCAAGAAAAGGCCUUCCAAGAAUAAUUGGCACAUCUUUGUUACCUUCACAAUCUAAAAUAAGGAAAUCAGCUGGAAAAAUAAACUUAUCUACUCUUACCAACACAUCUUCAAUUUUACCUUCUGGAUGUGCGUAGGAUCGAUCAACCAAUUGUACUGUAACUGUAGUAGGUCUAGUUUUUCCAAUUCCCAGCUUCCUGAAAAUAGACAGCAGUAUUAGAUUUAUACAUACUCCUGAAUCACAUAAUGCAUUACCAACAUAAUGAUUUCCAAUUAAACAUAGGAUAGAGAAACUCCCUAAGUCCUUCAACUUUGGAGGUAAUUCAUCAACAUUGUUGUGCACCCUUAAGUGAAAGCAAUAGUCUCAAGUUCUCCCAUUCUGUGCUUCUUCGACAGUAUAUCCUACAUAAAUUUCACAUAGUUUGGCAUUUGCUCCAAAGCUUCUACUAGCGAUAUAUUAAUAUGUAGUUGCUUCAAGACCUCCAAAAACCUUUUGAACUAAACAUCUUGUUUAGAAUUAUGUAAUUUCUGAGGAAAAGAUAGAGGUGGUCGUCCUUCAAGUUUCUGAUAUUGUUUUCCUAUAGCGUUUUUAUUGGCAGCCUGAUCUAGUUCUGCCACAGCAUUCUUCUGCUUACCCUUUUCAAGUGUAAUAUGUUUUUCAGAUGGCUUUGGGAUCUUUACAUGGUUGUUAUUUGAGUUAUCCUCUCCUACUGUGGCAUCUUGAACAACAUCAUUUAACUGAGCUCCACUUCUGAGAGUGAUCACUUUGCACUGUUCUUUCCCUUAUGUUAUCCAAUUCUAGGUAUCGUUGGCAAUGCUCCUUGUGGCCUCAAAUUUAAAGCAUUUGUUAUUUGCCCACUUGAUUCUCAAGAGCUCGUAGGGACAUAGCUUGACUAAGGUAUCUUUCUUGGCCAUAAAUUAUUUCAACAAGUCUUCAAUAGAUGGUGAUGAUAAUGACUGGCCUUGUUGUACAUUUUGCCUCGGCAUAGGAUGAUUAUAACUAGGCGAUGCACUAUCGGCAUUCUUCUUGUAGCAUUGUUAAAAUUCCCCUCACCUUGAUUAUUCCAACUAAAGUUUAGAUGUUGUCCCCACCCUAGAUUAUAGGUGUUGGAAUAGGGAUUAUUAUUCCAAUUGAAAUUACCUAUGUAGCACACGAAUGUUGGGUUUGAUAGGCAUUCAUCCAACACGUGGUCAUCACCACAAUAAACACAUGCUAGCCUAAUAGCUUUCACCUCCUGAACUGUAGUUGGUAUCUCCAUCAUCUUGAUCAUAUUAGUUAAAGAUGAAACAUGGGUAGUCAAUGAAGUGAUUGUAUUAAGUUCCAUGGUACCAGCAGCUUUCUUACCCGUUAAAACUCUCGUGGUAGUAUAUUGAUAAUUAUUGCUGGCAAUCUUUUCCAAAAUCUCAUAUGCUUCAUUAUAAGAUUUAUCCAACAAAAUACCAUUGGUGAAGGCAUCAACUACCAUCCUCGUAUGCGCAUUCAUUCCAUUAUAAAAUAACUUCAUCUGUGUCUAGUGCUGAAAUCCAUGCAUCGGGCACUUCUGAAUGAAGUCUUUAAAUCGCUCCCAAGCUUCAUAUAGCGUUUCAUCAUCCAAUUGCUGAAAAGAUGUGAUGUCAUUUCUAAGCUUGGCAUUCAUAUUUGGAGGAUUAUAUCGUAGAAAAAAACUCUAGCAAAGAUCAUUUCAUGAUGCUACUAUUCAGUACGGCAGAGCAUUCAGCCAUGCUCUCACACGAUCUCUUAAAGAAUAUGGAAACAGUUUAAGUCGCAAAGUGUCUUUAGGCACACCCUACUGUCUCUAUGAGUCAUAAACCUCUAAAAAAAGUCUUAAAUGAAGUAUUGGAUCUUUAUUAGGUAAUCCACUUAACUGUCCUACUAUUUACAACAUCUAAAAUAUUACCAGUUUCAGCUCAAACUACUGAACUUGUAUUUGUGGUCUGACUAUCUCUGGAUUCAAAUCAUCCAAAAUUAGCACAACAUGCUCUCAGAUUGGUCUAUCUCGGUCAUCUAUCAUUCUACGAACAUGAAGAUUAGCAUCCUGACCAUUCAAAUUAUCAUUGAGACUAGGAUCAUUUUCGUUUCUAGCAUCAUAGUUCUUUUCACCUUCUUCAUAAAGUUAUUUCGAUCUUUAGGUUAAAAGGAUACUCUUUGUUAGUAGGAAUAUCUUUUCUCAUGUACUGAUGGAAAACUUAUAGAAAAAUAUAACUAAGUUAAAUAAAACUAAUGGAGCUAAGUGAAAUAACAAAACCAAUUUUUAAGAAAUUGUCAAUCCCUGGCAACGGUGCCAAAAAAUUGUCGCGCGUGAAUAUGAUAUGUGAAUCGUGCAAGUAUACACGUUGGAUCAAGUAAUAAAGUGAUAAGUGAGUAUCACUCCCAUGAGGUUCCAAUUGAGGCACAAAAGUGGUCAAGUUAUUAUAAUAGAGUGUUAUUAAUGUUAUGGCAAAAACAACGAUAAGUAUAAAGGAGUAGUGAUGUAUGUAAUAUGUGGAAUUUAAUGAAUACUUGGAAAUGUUAUGGCAAAACAAAAGUAGAAAUGUAAUGGAAAUUAUGAGAGUUACUACGGGAAUAUUAUGUAAAUGAACAAAUAAAUAACUAAUAAUGAUGUGACAAAGAUACUAUGGCAAAGAACAAAGGAUAUACGAUGUUGAUUUGGAAUGUUGGAAUUAUUAAGAAUCUACCCUUACUGUCAGAGAUGCCUCGAAAAAAUCAUAAUUAAUUUACUACUUAGAAGAGUUCUAAAGUGGUCUGCUUCUUUCGAGAGCAAAAGUCUCAAGUUACCUUACCCAUGACAAUAGGCCUUUAAUACGGUACCCUGCACUAUUUCUUUUUGUAUGAAUGCUGCUCUAUGUCUAAAGUCUACUACAAGCAUCUAUUGAAUACUUGCUCAUAUCAUUCAAUUUCGGUCCAACUAAUCCAACCUUUUCAAAAUUAAAUUAGUUUAUGUGCAUGCUACACAAUCUCUAUGUCUAGGAAUUGCACGCUUAUAAUUUAGAAAAAAAUAAUUAAAUGAAACAGUAAAUUAAUUCAACUCUAUGCUUCAACCAUUAAAGAAAAUAAAGGUUUCAUCAUGUAAUCUCAACCCUAUGAGAUUUAGCUCAUGGGUUGGCACAUAAAAUUUAAAACCAAAAUAACAUCCAACACCAUUUUCAUCAUUCCAUUCAAGGAAGAACAAAGUAAGAAAUGUAGAAGACUUUGAGAAUACAACUUUUUCAUGUCAUGUUCACACUCCAACAACAUAGUGUUCCAGCGAUGGCUAAGAGGGACUACUUUUGUCUUCCUCUUUUUGUCUCUACUCAGCCGCUACCCUCUAUUUUUGCCUAAGGAGCUGUUGCUUUUUGUUCAUCAUUUAGGGUUUCCUCCUUUGGCUUUUUAUAGCUUUUUCCCUUGGGUAAAUCCAACAAAUCAUGUUUAUCUUCUCCUCUUUUUAAAAUUUUUUUUCUAGAAUAAAAAUCAAAAUCCCAGGAUUAUCUUCUCCUCUUUUAGGUACAUUUUUUUGGUAAAAAUGCAGUUGGGCUAAAAUUGGUAUGCAUUGAGUGUUGACUCGAUCAUCCUAGAAUUGCCACAGCAUUCGUGCUAACCAAAUGUCCAACCUUUUGCCCUGGUAAACCUUUACUCCUUUAUUUCUCAUUCCUCAACCUGCACCUGCCAAAGCACCAAACACAACCCUACCAUAAGCAAUUAAAAGUAUCUAUUAUUGAUUUUUUUUGGUAAGUGGUAAUAGGACUUGUAACUAAUAUAGUUUUGGAAAAAAAUAUGAUUUUUUUUAGAAUCUUUAAGGCAUAUUUUCGAUUGGUAAAUGAGGAGUUUUGAAUCAUAAAAUUAUGAUUUUAUGUUCUACCCCAUGAGACCUUUACAACGAGAUAUCAUAUGCUCAAAAUGGUUGAGUGAUGAAUGAGAAAUUGAUGCUCAAAGUAAGCUACUUGGAAAUUAUGUUGAGAAAAAUGAAAAAGCAUUAAUCCCACAUUUAUUAGGAAUCAAGUGUGGAACUUGAUAUAUAUGUAAACCAACUUGGUGGUUAUUAAAUGAGUAAACUAAUGCUCUCCCUCGUGUGCAGGGGGUGCAAAUCUAAAUCCACUGAGGUUGGGGGCACACCCGCACGACAUGGGCGUUUCCAAGAUUUUACUCAGUUUGAUUUAAAGGCUUCUUUAAUGCAUAUUUGUAUCUUUACUCAUGGAAAUUUCUAAAAUUCCUCCACAUUGAAUGCUUAUAAAAUCCUAAAUUCUUUAAAGACACACAACGAAUUUAUUUCACUCUCGAAAAUUCUAUUUCUUUUCUCUCCAAAAUUUUCAAACGUCCGGUGAUAGAAGAAGGCAAGGUUUGUUCGUUGAUCACUGCAGAUGUACUACUGCCGCAAUCAUUUUGUUAUUGUAUCCUGGGAGACAGAUGAUCAACAUUUCUCUAAGUACCAUAGGAGCAGCUGAAUCUGUCUUAAGGAAACUGUGAAAACAGACCUCAGCAUCUAGUAAAACUCGAUUUCCUUAUUCAAUUUCUGGUUUUUCAAAAUCUUGUUUAUAUAAUUAUUUUUUAGAUUUGAUGUUUUAAAUAAAUAUAAAUAUUUAUUUAUUUAUUUUGUUUAGAUCUGGUGUUUUUACACAAAUAUAGAUAUUUGGUUAUAUUAUUUGUUCAAGAUAUUAUAUUUAAUAUAAAUAUUUACAUUUAUAUUUGUUCGCUAACGUGUUUUGUCCAACAAUCUUAAGACAGAUUUUUAUUAUUUUAAAAUUCUCUAAUCCGAGUAGAACGAGACACGAAGGCAAAAAAAACAUAUUCUGUCUAAGAAAAAAUUAAAUUGAAUAAAAUCUAUUUCGGGAUUUAUUAUUGUCGUUCAAUAGACUUUAUUCCUUUUUUAUUUUGUUUCCAAACAAGAAUUAAUUGAAUAAUUCUAUUUCAGAAUUUAUUCUCACAGCUCAACAGAUUUUAUUCUAUUUUUAUUUUGUUUCCAAACAAUAAUUAAAUAAAUAAUUCUAUUUCUAGAUUUAUUCCCGCCAUUUAACAGAUUUUAUUUGAUUUUGAUUUUGUUUCCAAACAAGAUUUAAUUAAAUAAUUUUGUUUCAGGAUUUAAUCCUGUCGGCCAACAAAAUUGAUUUUAAUUUUAUUUCAGAAUUUUAACUCUUCCAUUUAACAAAAUCAAAGGGUAAUAUAAAUUUUAAAUUAAAUUUUUUAUUUAUUGUGGCUUUAAUUGUGGCUUUAAAUUGUGAAAGCUUAAAUUGUAGCUUCAAACUUGUGACAUCAAAGAAAAAAAAAAUUUAUCAACGGUGAAUUAAAAAAGACAAUAUGAGAGUGCAUGUCUAGGAUUGGUUCUUUGAAAGACUUGGUAUUUAAGUGUGCCAAGUGCACCACCUCUCUUUCAGGGUUACCUACCUGGCACAUUUUUUUUGUCUUUCGAUUAGACCGUGUAAACUUUUGUUUCAAGUUUUAUUAAAUUCCUAUCGUCUAGCAAAAGUUGAUAAUUUUUUUCUAAUUUUGGUUUUGUUUCUGAAAUCUUAACAGAAAAUGGAAACUCCCACCAAUGCUAUGGAAGAUAUGGACUUAUGUGCUGUGAUUUUUGAAGUCAACAUGGUUGACUCACAUCCAAGAGAAUAGUGGCUUGAUACUGGUGCCACACGUCAUAUUUGUUUGACAAAGACUUCUUUUCUGAGUUGGAGCCUUGUGAAGAUAGGGAGAAGCUCUAUAUGGGCAAUGCUAUGACUUCCAAGAUCAAGGAGAAUGGUACUAUAGUCUUGAAGAUGACUUCUGGCAGAGAACUCAAGCUUCAAAAUGUGUUGUAUGUGUUUGACAUACGCAAGAACCUUAUUUCUGAGACACUCCUUAGUGUACACGGUUUUAAGACGGUGUUUGAAUCCCAGAAGCUAGUUUUGUCUAAAGGGUGAAUGUUUGUGGGAAGGGGAUAUGUAUUAAAUGGCAUAUGGAAACUUAAAGCAAUCUCUGUAAAAUUAAAAACUAUGAAUAAGAGUGUUGUUUCUUCUUCUGUUUAUAUGCUUGAGUCAUUUAAUUUAUGGCAUGGUAGGCUCAGACAUGUUGGUUAUGAUACUUUACAUAGAUUAAUUAAUUUAGAGCUCAUUCCUUCAUUUCACAUUAGUUAUAAACAUAAAUGUGAAACUUUUGUUGACGAAAAAUUAACAAUGCCUUCAUUUGAAACUAUUGAAAGAAAUAUAGAACCACUCGAUCUAAUACAUAGCAAUGUUUGUGACUUAAUGUUUGUUCAAACCAGAGGAAGGAAUAAAUAUUUUAUUACCUUCAUUAAUGAUAGCACAAAAUAUUGUUAUGUAUAUUUGCUUCAGAGCAAAAACGAAGUUUAGAGAAAUUUAUUCUCUAUAAACAGGAAGUUGAAACCUAACUUAAUAAAAAGACUAUGAUGGUAAGAAGUGAUUAUGGUGGUGAAUAUGUUGAACCAUUUAGUGAAUACUGUGCACAACAUGGUAUUAUUCAUGAAGUGACACCACCAUACACUUCUCAAUCAAAUGGAAUAGCCGAGCGAAAAAAUCAGACUCUAAAGGAAAUGAUGAACGCAUUACUAGAAAGCUCUGGGUUAUCACAGAACAUGUGGGGGGAAGCUAUUCUAUGAGCUAAUUACCUUUUAAAUAAGGUUCCCUACAAGAAAAGGGACAAGACACCAUAUGAGUUAUGGAAAGGUAGAAAACCUUCCUACAACUACUUGAAACUGUGGGGGUGUCUUGCAAAGGUAAUGGCUCCAUUACCAAAGUAAAUGAAAAUAGGUCUUAAAACGGUGGAUGUAUUUUCAUAGGCUAUGCAGAUCAUAGAAAUACAUAUAGGUUUCUUGUGUAUGAAUCAAAGAAUCCUGACAUUCACAAGAAUAUUAUAUUGGAAUCAAUGAAUUCUUCAUUCUUUGAAAAUAUCUUCCCUUGUAAAGCUAGGGAAGUUGAUUCAAGUUCAACAAAAUGAACUUCAGAGACUAUAGAUGAAAAUAGUCAAGACGAGGUUAAAACUGUGAUAGAGCCAAGAGUAAACAAGUAACAGUGAAAAAAUCUUUUGGGUCAGAUUUUCUAACCUUUAUGCUAGAUGCUAAACCUCAAACAUGUGAUGAUGCUAUACGGUCAUCCGAAAGCACUUCAUGGAAAGAUGCUAUUAAAAGUGAAAUUGACUCCAUCAUGUAAAAUCAUACAUGAGAAUUAGUGGAUCUUGCUCUAGGAAUUAAACCAUUAAAUUCUAAGUGGAUUUUUAAAUGAAAAAUGAAAGCAGAUGAAACAAUAAACAAGUACAAGGUCAGAUUGGUUAUAAAAGUUUAUAGAUAAAAAGGAAGGCCUACUUUGAUACUUUUUCUCCAAUAUCCAGGAUAACUUCUAUAAGGAUGAUACUUGCAAUUGUCGCCUUAUAGAAUCUAGAAGUACAUCAAAUGGAUGUUAAAACAACUUUCCUAAAUUGAGAUCUUGAUGAAGAAAUUUACAUAGAACAACCUGAGGGUCAUGUAAUUCUAAGACAAGAAAGGAAAGUUUGUAAAUUGGUGAAGUCUUUAUAUGGACUUAAGCAAGCACUAAAACAAUGGCAUUAAAACUGUUCGACAAUGCCAUGAUGACAAAUGGCUUUAAGAUUAAUGAAUGUGAAAAUUGUGUGUAUGUCAAAACUACCGAUAUUGGAUAUAUAAUCCUAUGCUUAUAUAUUGAUGACAUAGUCAUUGUUGGAAGUAACAAUGAAAUGGUAAAACGUGCCACAGACAUGUUAAAUUCAACGUUUGACAUGAAAGAUAUGGGACUAGAAAAUGUGGUUUUGGCAUCCAAAUUAAGAGGUCAUAUGAAGGUCUGAUAUUGACUUAGCCACACUAUGUGGACAAGAUUCUUGGGAAAUUUAGCAAGGAUGAUUUCGGUAUAGCCAAAACUCCAAUAGCUACAAGCCAACAUUUGUCCAAAAAUAAAGGUGAAAGUGUUGACCAAGUGGAAUAUGCAGGGGUCAUAGGUAGUCUAAUGUACCUUAUGAGUUGUACUAGACUAGAUAUUGCUAUCACUGUGAGCAGUUUAAGCAUAUUCACAAGCAAUCCAGGGGAAAACCAAUGGAAAGUAAUUGUGAGGAUACUGAGAUAUCUUAGAUAUACUCAGGACUAUGGAUUGCAUUAUUCCAAAGAUCCUAUUGUUUUAGAAGGAUUCUCCUGUGCCAGUUGGAUAUCUGAUAUUCAAGAUACCAAAGGCACAAGUGGAUAUGUUUUUACAUUAGGAGGAGGAGCUAUGUCAUGGAAAUCCCCAAGACAAACGAUUAUAACCAGAUCCAUAAUAGAAUCUGAGUUUGUAGCUCUAGACAAAUCUGGAGAAGAGGCUAAAUGGCUUCGAAACUUCUUGGAAGAUAUUCCUGACUGGCCAAAGCCUGUGCCCACAAUAUGUAUAUAUUGUGACAAUCAAGCAACAAUUGGUAGAGCACAAAAUGUAAUAUAUAAUGGUAAGUCAAGACAUAUGCUUCGUUGACACAAUACUUGUAGACAACUGAUCUCAAAUGGGGUUAUCUCUAUUGAUUUUGUAAAAUCAAAAGAUAACAUUGUGGAUCCGCUAACUAAAUGCUUAAAUCGAGAUCAGGUUAAUAAAACAUCGAAAGGAAUAGGACUAAAGGCCAUGGAAAUUAAAGGCGCUAUGUAAAGGAAAACCCAACCUAGUUGAUUGGAGAUCCCAAGAUCUAGGUUCAAAGGGACAACCUAAUUGCAUAGGCCUUGUGAGGUCACUAUAGGGGUUCUUAUUCCAAGUCCAUUCCUAUGAAAUAAACAGUGAUUUAAAGUGAGAUAGGUUAAGUAAAGCUUUUAAUGACCAUUGUGUGUUUCGGAGAGCCAAGCAACAUAAGUCACCUAUGUUAGAGUGAAGUGGGGCUGCUUCGAGGAGACUAUUGUGCAUAGGUCUCUCAAAAUCUUGCAGAACCAGGAAAUGUUCAUGGUCAUAUAAACAUACCUAUGAGAACGAAGACCUUGCUAGGGAGGUAGUUGUGUAAGGAAUAUCAUUGUUUACACAAACGAUAGAACAGUUCAAGGAUAUUACGUCAACUAGUCAGCUAGUAAAAUAAAUAUACUUUCACAAGGGAAGGUUCAAGGGUUGAUGUUUGCCUAUCAUAUACAACUAUCAAUCGUAGAAUCUAUCACCACAUCCAGCCAAUGUUUUUCAUUAAACCUAUCAAUUUCAUUCAUGUGGGGUAUUGUUGGAAAAAUAUGAUUUUUUGGAAUCUUUGAGGCAUAUUUUCGAUUGGUAAAUGAGGAGUUUUGAAUCAUAAAAUUAUGAUUUUAUGCUCUACCUCAUGAGACCUUUACAACGGGAUAUCAUAUGCUCAAAAUGGUUGAGUGAUGAAUGAGAAAUUGAUGCUCAAAGUAAGCUACUUGGAAAUUAUGUUGAGAAAAAAUGAAAAAGCAUUAGUCCCACAUUGAUUAGGAAUCAAGUGUCACUACACCAAAAUAGGCUUUUAGCAGCGUUUUUAGUGGCAUUUGGAUAAAAAACGCUGCUAAAAAUCAAGCAAUAGCAGCGUUUUUUUUAAAACGCUGCUAAAGAUCCAAUAUUAGCGGCGUUUUUCGGAAAACGCCGUAAAAAAUGAGCAUUAGCAGCGUUUUUCAAAAAAGCGCCGCAAAAAAUCUAAGCACAACGAUGUCGUUUUUUGAGUUUUUGGGCCUUUAGCGGCGUUUUUUAAAAAACGCCGCUAAUGUUCGAGGCUUUAGCGGCGUUUUUGAAGAAGCGUCGCUAAUCCUCGGGGCUUUAGCGACGUUUUUGAAGAAGCGCCGCUAAUGCUCUGGUCUUUAGCGGCAUUUUUUAAGAAGCGCCGCUAAUGCUCUAGGCUUGCUCUGGGCUUUAGCGGCGUUUUUGGAAAAACGCCGCUAAUAAUCGAGGCUUUAGCGGCUUUUUUGAAGAAGCGCCGCUAAUGCUCUAUUUUUAGCGGCUUUUUUUAAGAAGCGCCGCUAAUGCUUUGGUCUUUAGCGGCGUUUUUGAAAAAAGCACCGCAAAAAAUAUUUUAUCUCUCUAUUUAUUAUUUAAUUGGUUUGUUUAUAUUAAUUAAAAUUCAAAUUAAUUUUAAUUGAAUAUUCAAAAUCUUCACAAAAAACUAAUGACACGUAGAAAUCAUUUGAAAUAAAAACAUAGAAAAAUAUUUGUUAAAAAUGGAAAAAUUAAAAUACUAUUAUUUAAAAUAAUUUUAAGUUUUUUAGAAACUGUGCAAAGUGUAUGCAAGCAGAUAAUGUUUAUAAUGCUAUUUUGGUCGUUCAAAGAGCUUUUACAGCACCUGCAAAAGCAGCGAUAAAUGAAAUUAAUUCAUACUUCCACAUGGAAGUUUUUGAGGUGAAUAUAAGUUUAAAUUGGUAUAAAUAAAUAUAAUUUUCCUUUUAGCUCUCUGGGUUUUUGUUCUUUUGAUUGUUUUAUAACAGUUUUUUCUUAAAGGAUAAGUGAUAGACGAAAUCCGGGAGUUGAAUCCUAGAGUUGAAAUCCAAGAGUUGAAUCCCUUAUAAAGGUACAUUUUUUUUCCUCAUUGAUAUAUGUUUAUUAGCAUUUGAGUCAUUUAGGUUACUUUUUAUUGUAUUCAUGCAUGCUUGCUUACUUCACAUUUUCCUUCUUCCAGUUUAAAUUUAAUUCUUUCAGUGCUGGAGAUGAUGAUUAUGAAGGGUACAAUUACCGCUUGUGUGGGCGACUUUCUGCUGUUCGAAUUGUUUUUCUUUGUAGGUUUGUUCAGGAGGUAUGAUGGGAUACAGUUUAAACUGUACAGUUUUAGCAUUACCAUCAUCCUAUUAUGGUUAAACCUUAACAUUUAACAAUUGAAGUUCACUUUCACAAAUAGUCAAAAUUUAGGUCUAUAAAUUUCAAGAAACUUGGUUUGGCAGAUAACAGUUUACUUCAUGGAGCUUGCUACCCCACAUACAGAAGAAAUAAUAAAACUUGUUGAUAAAGUUGGCGAUUUUGAGUGGUUAAUUCAGAAAUCUGAAAUUGAUGGGGCUGCUGCUUUGAAGCUGGAUCUUACAUUUGACACUCCAAUAAUUAUAGUUCCUAGGAAUUCAACGAGCACUGAGUAUGUUUAACUUUCCAUUAUCUUAGACUUGCAAAGUAGAACAGAACACUAACUGUUUUAGUCCAUUUUAAUAGAAACUGAACUCUCCAGGAUUUUUGUAUUAUUAUUUAGUGUGAACAUUACUAAUGUAUUUCCAUAUGACAAGUUUUGUUCAACUUGAUGUGGGUCUUCUAAAGGUCAGAAAUAAAAUAAGUUGAGCAUAUUAGGUUUGUCACUUAAAGGGCUCUGCAGAUUGUUUUAGAUUGGCUUGAUUUUUUAUUCACUCAAUAUUUCUCUUUAUCUCUCCAUGUGAUCCUAUUCUAGUAUCAUUUAGUACUUGAGUGAUCUAGAAGAUGUUGAUACAUGUCUUAAGGUAUAAUUUUCUGUCAGUUUACAUUAGAACAAGGUAGGUGCAUUAGACCAAGGUGUAAAUGAAUAUGAUCAAGUGUAUGUGUAUUCAAUAACAAGGACUAUUAGGAAAUCAUGUGUAUUGGCCAAUGAAAGAUUAAAAAAUUUUUGCAUGAUUUUUAGAUAAAAGGGACUAGUUGUUAGUGUUUGCUAUCAUAUCUUAAGCUAAUUUAUAUGUACACGGUCACACAUAAAAACACAAAUUUAUAUAUAUUGCCUCGUCUGUGGCAAGUGCUUUUUCCACACCUUGCCUUUUGAGUAAUAUAAAGGGUUCUAGUGCCUAGAAUACCUUGUGCUCUUGGCAACAUUUGGCUGGCCCUACAUUUCUUAAAUUUUUUUUCUAAUUCAAAUUCAUAUUUACUAUUUUUUGAAGAAAAAUUAAUAAUAAUUUUGUUUUGUCAUUUCUUCUAAUAUUAAUAACUAGCUACUUAUACUAUAUUAGAGAAUCAAAUAUUCACCGAGUCAAUGGAGUAUAUAAUUUAAAUAAAUUAUCCUUGAGAUAGUACCGAACCAGUUUUCCUCUUUGAAAUUGCUUUAACCAGUGAAAUGCUUCGGUAGUUUGCUACCUUUGUGGUGGAAAUUCUUGAUGUCUAUUUUGGACUUUGGAGCUAUAAUUUCAUUUUUCUUAUAUGCAAUUUUAUUUUUAUUAUUUUUCUUUUAUACAGGAUUAGAACCGGUAUACUACAGGAAGAGGAGUGCACAAAAAUCUGAAACGUACAGAGAAAGCUCGCAUUCUAGUUAGCAAAUUGCCAUGUAAGCUUCUAGUAGUAAUCUUACAUCUUGAAGUAGGUUUCUGUGACAUAUUAACUUAAUCUUCUUUGUUAAAUAGAAAACAUGCUUUAUUGCAAUGCAAUAUUUAGUUGAUUUGCUUAUAUGCUGGUUGUUUCUGAACUUGGUUUGGUUUUGUGUAACCGUGGUUUUUGAACUUGCAUUCUAUACUGUCCAAAUAUCUCGGUUCAGGUCAGUUUUCAAUUUUAUUAUUUACUCCCGAGCUUAAGCUCCAGUUUGAAUGAGAUUUUCCAGUAUAGUUAAAAGGUAAAAAGACCUCAAUCAAACUCGUGUGAUACUCUAGUCAAGCAUUAAAGUACUCGAAUUUGAUCUGCUCAAUAGCUCAAACUCGACUCAACACCAUUCAAGUUGUUGUUGUUAAUGGUUUUUAUUUUAAACUUAAGUUGUGUCUGCCAAUAUGCUCUUAAAUCAUGGUCCUUCUAUUUCUUUAGGUUGCUGAGAAGACUGCUCUUCUGCGGCCUAUAGAACUUAAACUUGUUCCUGUGGCCUUGGAAGGUAGUGCAUUUAAAAGCAAGUUUCUUGAUACGGAUGAACUUAUGAGCUACUGUAGCUGGUUUGCGGUAAGAAAUGACUCCUAUUUCUAUUUUAUGGUACCUGGAAUGGUUUAAUACUUCACCGUCUAUAAUAUUUCUAUUGCCCAUGGAUCUUAUGUUGUGGGUGUUAGUACCUUACCAAUCUCAUUAAUGUCUUGUUUUAUUCUUCCUAAAAUUCAAGGAAUCAGUUGUUUAAGUGUUUUCAUUCAGUUUACAUGUUUACCUCUGUUUCUCUGAGUUUCAUAUUUAACUAAUCCAUCUUAAUUGGUGGUAAAUUCAUGUUUUAGGCACUAAUCAAUUUUAACCAAAUUAUCUAACUGUAAUUUGUACUGCUUUCAGACUUUCAGUAGCAUGAUCCCAAAAUGGCUGCGGAAAACCAAAAUUGUCAAGAAAAUUAGCCAAAUACUGGUGAAUCACCUUGGACUAAAUUUGACCAAAGAUGAUCUACAAAAUGUGGUUGAUUUAAUGGAGCCAUAUGGUCAGAUAAGCAAUGGAAUAGAAUAUCUAAAUCCUCCCCUUGAUGUCAGUAACUAACUUGCUUGUCAUUUUAAAUAUGCAAGUCAAUUGCUAUUAAUAAUUUUCUGUUGGAUUCUUGGACUGAAAAAUAAUUGAAUUGCAAGGUCAUACAUGCUGUUAAUUUUUUAAGAGCUAAUAAAUGAGUAUGACAUAGUGCUCAUAAAUGUUCUAAGGAUGUCUUGAGAUGAAUGGAAUUGUCUGAUAGUUUGAGGUUAUAAAUCUUUGUAUUGAUUUUUCUCAACAAUCUGAAGCCUGUCAUACUUAGCAAAUAUUUCUGUGAGAAUGGGUGUUUAAGAACUGUGAAUUGUCUUGAAAUAUAUGCGGUUGAGAUGGUUGAUAUAUUAUCAAGCAUGCAAUAUAUAUCACUGUCGUGACAAGUUUUUAUAGGAUUUAUUUGAAAUGGGUACGAAUUUAUCUCCCUGUUACAUGGAAAUAUAUAUUUAGCUUUAAAGUUAAAAUUUUAAUAGAAAUUUUAAUUUAAUUAAAUAUUUUUUAUCCUUAAAAGUAUAUAGUUUAAAGUUUAAAUUUUAAAAACAAAACAUAAUAUAAUAUUUAUUAUACAAAUAAAUAUUAUUUAAAUAAAAUAUAUUUUUUUAAAUUUAUGUUUUUAGCGGCGUUUGUUAAAAAGCGCCGCUAAAAGUCAUCUUAUUGUGGUUUGUUGUAGAAACGCCUUUAGUGGCGUUUUUAGGAAAAGCGUCGCUAAAGGUCAUGGCCUAUAGCGGCGUUUGUGGGAAAAGCGCCGCUAAAGGUCAUGGUCUAUAGCGGCGUUUGUGGGAAAAGCGCCGCUAAAGGUCAUGGUCUAUAGCGGCGUUUGUGGGAAAAGCGCCGCUAAAGGUCUUGGUCUUUAGCGGCGUUUUUGGGAAAGCGCCGUUAAAGGCCAUGGUCUUUAGCGGAGUUUGUGGAAAAAGCGCCGCUAAAGGUCAUGGUCUUUAGUGGCGUUUAUUUCUAAAAACGCCGCUAAAGUUAGCGGCGCUGUCAUUAGCGGCAUUUUUUUCGGUGCUUCUCAAAGCACCGCAAAUACUCUUAGCGGCGCUAAAAAGCGCCGCUAAAAGUCUAUUUUGGUGUAGUGUGUGGAACUUUUAUAUAUAUGUAAACCAACUUAGUGGUUAUUGAAUGAGUAAACUAAUGCUCUCCCUCGCAUGCAGAGGGUGCAAAUUCAAACCCAUCGGGGUUGGGGAACACCCGCACGACGUGGGUAACGCGAAAUGUCCGGAUCGAUCGGGCCCUUUUAGGCCUGCGAAUAUUUUAGCCCAAUACGUAUUUAUUUUUUUUCUGAGCAUAUAUUAUACAGAAUAUGUUUUAAAAGAACAAAUAUCUCAUUUUGAUUUGAUUCCAAUCAAAUUUGAUUUUAUUUUAUUCAAAUUGAUUUAAAGGCUCCCUUAAUGCAGAUUUGUAUCUUUAUUCAUGAAAAUUUCUAAAAUUCCUCCACAUUGAAUGUCUAUAAAAGCCUAAAGAAUAUUGCAGAAUUCUUUAGAGACGCACAACGAAUUUAUUUCACUCUCGAAAAUUCUAUUCAUUUUCUCUCCAAAUUUUUCAAAUGUUUGGUGAUAGAAGGAAAGGUUUAUUUAUUGAUCACUGCAGAAGAACUACUCCCAUGAUCAUUUUGUUGUUGUUUCUUGGGAGACAGACGAUCAACGUUUCUCCAAGUACCAUAGGAGCUGUCGAAUCUAUCUUACGGAAACAGUGAAAACAGGCCUCAACAUCUAGUAAAACUCGAUUCCCUUAUUCGAUUUCUAAUUUUUCAAGAUCUUGUUUAUUUAAUUAUUUUUCAGAUAUGAUGUUUUAAAUAAAUAUUUUGGUUUUGUUUAGAUCCGGUGUUUUUACAUAAAUAUAAAUAUUUGUUUAUAUUAUUUGUUCAAGAUCUUGUAUUUAAUAUAAAUAUUUAUAUUUAUAUUUGUUCACUAAGGUGUUUUGUCCAAACUAUAGCUUCUCAAUAAUUGUCAAAUAUUAUAGUGAUAUGCUUUUUCUUUCAAUUAUUCAUAUCUUCAAGAUUAAAAGGUUUACUUUAGUAUUAUUCUAUUUAUUGAGUGUGUAUUAAUGUUUUGUACAGGAAUCCGUUGGAUUUUGGUCUUGUAUAAAUUAGUUGUGGUUGUGGGUAAAUAAAUGUGUGUCGUUCUUCAUUCUCCAAACAUGCUGAAUAUAAUUAUUGGCAUUUCAAGUGUGGCAUAAUAUAAAACAAUGGUUGGCUUCAUCAUAAUCUGUUUGGAGACUAACGGGCCACACUUUGACCUCCAAAUUUAGAAAAUAUUUCCAGAGUUGGAAAUUGUAAUUGUAAUACCGUAAUAUUUGUACACCGCACUACACCAAAACAGGUUUUUAGCGGCGCUUUUUUAGGCCUUUAGGGGCGCUUUUUAGUGCCGCUAAAAGUAUUUGCGGCGCUUUGAGAAGCGCCAGAAAAAACGUCGCUAGUGACAGAGUCGCUAACUUUAGCGGCGUUUUUAGAAAUAAACGCCGCUAAAGACCAUGAUCUUUAGCGGCGCUUUUUCCACAAACGCCGCUAAAGACCAUGACCUUUAGCGGCGCUUUCCCAAAAAUGCCGCUAAAAACCAGAACCUUUAGCGGCACUUUUUCCACAAACGCCGCUAAAGACCAAAACCUUAGCGGCGCUUUUCUCACAAACGCCGCUAUAGAUCAUGACCUUUAGCGGCGCUUUUCCCAUAAACGCCGCUAUAAGCCAUGACCUUUAGCGACUCUUUUCCCAAAAACUCCACUAAAGGCGUUUCUACAAUAAACCACAAUAAAGAUGACUUUUAGCGGCGCUUUUUAACAAACGCCACUAAAAACAUAAAUUUUAUAAAAUAUAUUUUAAUUAAAUAAUAUUUAUUUGUAUAAUAAAUAUUAUAUUAUGUUUUGUUUUUAAAAUUUAAACUUUAAACUAUAUACUUUUAAGGAUAAAAAAUAUUUAAUUAAAUUAAAAUUUCUAUUAAAAUUUUAACUUUAACGCUAAAUAUAUAUUUCCAUGUAACAGGGAUAUAAAUUCGUACCCAUUUCAAAUAAAUCCUAUAAAAACUUGUCACGACAGUGAUAUAUAUUGCAUGCUUGAUAAAAUAUCAACCAUCUCAACCGCAUAUAUUUCAAGACAAUUCACAGUUCUUAAACACCCAUUCUCACAGAAAUAUUUGCUAAGUAUGACAGGCUUCAGAUUGUUGAGAAAAAUCAAUACAAAGAUUUAUAACCUCAAACUAUCAGACAAUUCCAUUCAUCUAAAGACAUCUUUAGAACAUUUAUGAGCACUAUGUCAUACUCAUUUAUUAGCUCUUAAAAAAUUAACAGCGUGUAUGACCUUGCAAUUCAAUUAUUUUUCAGUCCAAGAAUCCAACAGAAAAUUAUUAAUAGCAAUUGACUUGCAUAUUUAAAAUGACAAGCAAGUUAGUUACUGACAUCAAGAGGAGGAUUUAGAUAUUCUAUUCCAUUGCUCUUAUCUGACCAUAUGGCUCCAAUAAAUCGACCACAUUUUGUAGAUCAUCUUUGGUCAAAUUUAGUCCAAGGUGAUUCACCAGUAUUUGGCUAAUUUUCUUGACAAUUUUGGUUUUCCGCAGCCAUUUUGGGAUCAUGCUGCUGAAAGUCUGCAAGCAGUACAAAUUACAGUUAGAUAAUUUGGUUAAAAUUGAUUAGUGCCUAAAACAUGAAUUUACCACCAAUUAAGAUGGAUUAGUUAAAUAUGAAACUCAGAGAAACAGAGGUAAACAUGUAAACUGAAUGAAAAACACUUAAACAACUGAUUCUUUGAAUUUCAGGAAGAAUAAAACAAGACAUUAAUGAGAUUGGUAAGGUACUAACACCCACAACAUAAGAUCCAUGGGCAAUAGAAAUAUUAUAGACGGUGAAGUAUUAAACCAUUCCAGGUACCAUAAAAUAGAAAUAGGAGUCAUUUCUUACCGCAAACCAGCUACAGUAACUCAUAAGUUCAUCCGUAUCAAGAAACUUGCUUCUAAAUGCACUACCUUCCAAGGCCACAAGAACAAGUUUAAGUUCUAUACGCCGCAGAAGAGCAGUCUUUUCAGCAACCUAAAGAAAUAGAAGGACCAUGAUUUAAGAGCAUAUUGGCAGACACAACUUAAGUUUAAAAUAAAAACCAUUAACAACAACAUAAAUUUCGCAAGCAAAUACAUGCAGACAGGAACAAUAAAACCAAAUAUAUGUAGGCAGUAAAAGCCAAAAUACACAGCGGCAGUCAACAAUUGUCUGCAUCAUAUGCCCCCAGGUCUCCAGUUUCUUAUCCAGAUAUGCAAUCAAUAGAGUUGAUAAGUAUCACCAUUAUUUCAUACUUGGCAAUAAUUCAGUUAUUAUUUGUGGAUCCUUUUCAGAAAUUCUCAAAUUAGACUUGUAUGGUGUUGAGUCGAGUUUGAGCUAUUGAGCAGAUCAAAUUCGAGUACUUUAAUGCUUGAUUAGAGUAUCACACGAGUUUGAUUGAGGUCUUUUGACCUUUUAACUAUACUGGAAAAUCUCAUUUCAAACUGGAGCUUAAGCUCGGGAAUAAAUAAUAAAAUUGAAAACCGACCUGAAACGAGAUAUUUGGACAAUAUAGAAUGCAAGUUCAAAAACCACGGUUACACAAAACCAAACCAAGUUCAGAAACAACCAGCAUAUAAGCAAAUCAACUAAAUCUUGCAUUGCAAUAAAGCAUGUUUUCUAUUUAACAAAGAAGAUUAAGUUACUAUGUCACAGAAACCUACUUCAAGAUGUAAGAUUACUAAUAGAAGCUUACAUGGCAAUUUCCUAACUAGAAUGCGAGCUUUCUCUAUACGUUUCAGAUUUUUGUGCACUCCUCUUCCUGCACUAUACCGGUUCUAAUCCUUUAUAAAAGAAAAAUAAGAAAAAUAAAAUUGCAUAUAAGAAAAAUGAAAUUAUAGCUCCAAAGUCCAAAAUAGACAUCAAUAAUUACCACCACAAAGAUAGCAAACUACCGAAGCAUUUCACUGGUUAAAGCAAUUUCAAAGAGGAAAACUGGUUCGGUACUAUCUCAAGGAUAAUUUAUUUAAAUUAUAUACUCCAUUGACUUGGUGAAUAUUUGAUUCUCUAAUAUAGUAUAAGUAGCUAGUUAUUAAUAUUAGAAGAAAUGACAAAACAAAAUUAUUAUUAAUUUUUCUUCAAAAAAUAGUAAAUAUGAAUUUGAAUUAGAAAAAAAUUUAAGAAAUAUAGGGCCAGCCAAAUGUUGCUAAGAGCACAAGGUAUUCUAGGCACUAGAACCCUUUAUAUUACUCAAAAGGCAAGGUGUGGAAAAAGCACUUGCCACAGACGAGGCAAUAUAUAUAAAUUUGUGUUUUUAUGUGUGACCGUGUACAUAUAAAUUAGAUUAAGAUAUGAUAGCAAACAUUAACAACUGGUCCCUUUUAUCUAAAAAUCAUGCAAAAAAUUUUUAAUCUUUCAUUGGCCAAUACACAUGAUUUCCUAAUAGUCCUUGUUAUUGAAUACACAUACACUUGAUCAUAUUCAUUUACACCUUGGUCUAAUGCACCUACCUUGGUCUAAUGUAAACUGAAAGAAAAUUAUACCUUAAGACAUGUAUCAACAUCUUUUAGAUCACUCAAGUUCUCAGAUUCAAUGUAUUCCGUGACAAAACCAAAUUAUAGUCCUCACUAGAAAUAUGCAAAUUUGGGCUAGCUGCCCCAUGAUGCACGUACUGCUUUUGAACACAAAGAGAGCUGCUUCACCAAAAACUGCAGUUGCUUCUUCAGCAGCACCUAAAAUAAUCGAACACAAAAGAACAUAACUUAAAUAUCAAUGAACAUAUGAGACCAAGUACUAAAUGAUACUAGAACAAGAUCACAUGGAGAGAUAAAGAGAAAUAUUGAGUGAAUAAAAAAUCAAGCCAAUCUAAAACAAUCUGCAGAGCCCUUUAAGUGACAAACCUAAUAUGCUCAACUUAUUUUAUUUCUGACCUUUAGAAGACCCACAUCAAGUUGAACAAAACUUGUCAUAUGGAAAUACAUUAGUAAUGUUCACACUAAAUAAUAAUACAAAAAUCCUGGAGAGUUCAAUUUCUAUUAAAAGGGACUAAAACAGUUAGUGUUCUGUUCUACUUUGCAAGUCUAAGAUAAUGGAGAGUUAAACAUACUCAGUGCUCCUUGAAUUCCUAGGAACUAUAAUUAUUGGAGUGUCAAAUGUAAGAUCCAGCUUCAAAGCAGCAGCCCCAUCAAUUUCAGAUUUCUGAAUUAACCACUCAAAAUCGCCAACUUUAUCAACAAGUUUUAUUACUUCUUCUGUAUGUGGGGUAGCAAGCUCCAUGAAGUAAACUGUUAUCUGCCAAACCAAGUUUCUUGAAAUUUAUAGACCUAAAUUUUGACUAUUUGUGAAAGUGAACUUCAAUUGUUAAAUGUUAAGGUUUAACCAUAAUAGGAUGAUGGUAAUGCUAAAACUGCACAGUUUAAACUGUAUCCCAUCAUACCUCCUGGACAAACCUACAAAGAAAAACAAUUCGAACAGCAGAAAGUCGCCCACACAAGCGGUAGUUGUACCCUUCAUAAUCAUCAUCUCCAGCACUGAAAGAAUUAAAUUUAAACUGGAAGAAGGAAAAUGUGAAGUAAGCAAGCAUGCAUGAAUACAAUAAAAAGUAACCUAAAUGACUCAAAUGCUAAUAAACAUAUAUCAAUGAGGAAAAAAAUGUACCUUUAUAAGGGAUUCAACCCUUGGAUUUCAACUCUAGGAUUCAACUCCCGGAUUUCGUCUAUCACUUAUCCUUUAAGAAAAAACUGUUAUAAAACAAUCAAAAGAACAAAAACCCAGAGAGCUAAAAGGAAAAUUAUAUUUAUUUAUACCGAUUUAAUCUUAUAGACUACAAUAUUUUGAUUUGCAUACAGAUAAGCAUCCAUAGUGCAGUUCAGAUUCAACUAAAUUGAACAAAGUUUAAGAAAUUUCAGACCCUAAAAAGUGAAAGUAAGAAGGAAAAAAUAUAGAUGAGUACUUGAAACGAUUCUUCUUUGUUUUUUUAGUCGACAUCAGAGUCAUCAAAAUCGUCUUUGAAGUUGUUGAAGAAAUCGGCAUCGGCGAGCUUGUUGUCGGAAGUGAUGACUCCUUCGUCGAAGAUCUCCGGUGUGUCAACAUCAUCGGCUUCCAUGGCUGAAUCUUUCGGGAAAUCUUUUGGGAAAAUUUGGAUUUUCCUGAAAAAUACACCGACCGGAUAAACGAGAGAAAAACAAAGAUGGUGGUUGAGAAGAAGAGGAGCUUAACGAUGAUGAUGAAGACGUGGUGGCGGAGAGAAACACCUAAAGGGUGUUUUUAGGAUACCAAUUUUAGGGGGGGAAAUUAGGGGUUUUAGGGGGGAAAUUAGGGAAAAAAAGGCGCAAUUUUGAAUAAAAUGAUACCGUUUUGUUCUGCUAAAAAUUUCUACUAUUUUUGUAUUUAUCAAUUUUUUAAAAUCUAAUAUUUAAAUAUAUUAAAUAUUUUAGAUUAAAUAUUUUUAAAUAUAAAAGCAUUAAUUAAUUAUAUAAAAUUUCAUCAUUUAACAAAUAUCAAGUAAACCUUAAAUCCUAAACCAUUUAAUAUAUAUAAAGUUUACUUAUUACCUCUUAAAUAAUUUAAACUAUAAUCAUAAUUUUAAUAUAUUAAAAUUAAAAUGAUCUCUUUUACAAUUAUAUAAGAAAUUAUUUAAUAUAUAAAUUAAAAACACUAAUUAAUCUAAACCCUAAACUCUUAACCUUUAUCCCCUAAACCUUAAAUUAUAAAACAUAAACCCUUAAACCCCUAACCCCUAAAUCCUAAACCCCUAAACCUUAAACCUCAACCCUUAAACCAUAAAUCAUAAACAAUAAUCCCUAAACCCAUAAUCCCUAAACUAUAAUGAUAAUUAAUUCAACAUUUUAAAAUUAAUACUAACUCUUUUACUAUUAUAUAAGAAAUUAUUUAAUAUAUAAAUAUCAAACACGUCAUAGACACUUAAAACUUUGAGAUAGUUAUAGUACUAUUUUUUAUUUCACUUAUAGGAACCUCAUAUACUCAAGCACUGCAAGUCUUUUGUGAAUUAACCAAUGCUUAUGAAGAUCUACUACUUACGGUUAUCAAUGCCAGCUGGAAUCACAAAUAUUAACAAGAAUCAGACAUAGAUAGCAAAAUUAAUCAAGCACUUUCAAGGGACAUCAUUCUAGCAGUUCUUUAAAGAAAUGGAUUUCAAUCCAGAAUUCAGUAGUUCUGUAACUAGCCUAGCAGAUAGAUGGAAAAAUAAUAUUUAUUUUAGAGAUCAGUCUACCUCUUAAGUGGAAUAACUUUCUGUAAGCUUUAACCUUGUGAACUUUUUUAUUAAUAUAUUUCUUCUAAUACUUCUUAGAGAUAAUCACAGACAAGAGAUUCAACCAUUAAGAUUCAAUGGAUGGUUAAUAUAAGACCAAACAAAGACAAUGCAUCUAAUUUAAUAAGUUAAGCCAUGCUCACGAACAAAGCAAAGAAGAAUUAUAUUCACCUCAAAAACUUCCAUGUGGAAGUAUGAAUUAAUUUCAUUUAUCGCUGCUUUUGCAGGUGCUGUAAAAGCUCUUUGAACGACCAAAAUAGCAUUAUAAACAUUAUCUGCUUGCAUACACUUUGCACAGUUUCUUACCAUAGGAACACCAACCUUUACUUCCGCAGGAAAGAAAACAUAAAUCUAGAGACAAAAAUACCAUCAGUACAUCAACAUUGAAGUUAUAAAAUUAUUUGUAACAAAAAAGUAAAGAAAAAGGAGUUGCUCUUAUUUCUAAUAUUAGAGUUAAAAACAAUGACCCGUUCUAGCUAUGCAAUCUUUUACAACAAGAAAGUGCAAACUCAUGCAGACAGUUUAAAGAACUCUAAACAUUUCAAAAAUUUCAAAUAUGGGCUUCUGAUUUAUAAACUGAUGAUUCUGAAAUAACUACACAGCUUGCUAAUUUGAUAUGCUUAUUACCUUGUAUAAGAAAUUAUUUAAUAUGUAAGUUAAAAAAAACUCAGUAAUGUACCCAAAAAACUUAAAAUUAUUUUAAAUAAUAUUAUUUUAAUUUUUCUAUUUUUAACAAAUAUUUUUCUAUGUUUUUAUUUCAAAUUAUUUCUACGUGUCAUUAGUUUUUUGUGAAGAUUUUGAAUAUUCAAUUAAAAAUAAUUUGAAUUUUAAUUAAUAUAAACAAACCAAUUAAAUAAUAAAUAGAGAGAUAAAAUAUUUUAAAGACCAAAGCAUUAGCGGCGCUUCUUCAAAAACGCCACUAAAGACCAGAGCAUUAGCGGCGCUUUUCCAAAAACGCCGCUAAAGCCCAGAGCAAGCCUAGAGCAUUAGCGGCGCUUCUUCAAAAACGCCGCUAAAGCCCAAAGCAUUAGCGGCGCUUUUCCAAAAACGCCGCUAAAUCCCAGAGCAAGCCUAGAGCAUUAGCGGCGCUUCUUCAAAAACGCCGCUAAAGCCCAGAUCAUUAGCGGCGCUUCUUAAAAAACGCCGCUAAAGGUCCAAAAACUCAAAAAACGACAUUUUUAGCGGCGCUUAUUGGAAAACGCCGCUAAUGCUCAUUUUUAGCGGCGUUUUCCAAAAAACGCCGCUAAUGUUGGAUCUUUAGCGGCGUUUUAGAAAAAACGCUGCUAUUGCUUGAUUUUUAGCAGCGUUUUUUAUCCGAACGCCACUAAAAACGCCGCUAAAAGCCUAUUUUGGUAUAGUGCCGCAGUGAACAUGGACAAUCAUGUCAUGAUGCAGAACCAGAAAAUGGUGCCAACUCUCCUUCUUCUCCCCCUCUUUCUUCCAAAACUAUAUCCUCGAAUCCUCAAAAAUGGUGACAUCAAACUUCCUUUUGUUUAUAAAAGGUUCACCCCUCACAUUACAGGGUCCUGUUCGUAUCUCAAGGCAAUCAAACAUGGAAUCCAUAUAUAUGAUUCUUCCCCAAUCCUUGUUGUAGAUUCUUUGGGGAUACAAGCCUUUUUGUUUGUAUUUAAAUACAAAAAAGGGAAAAUGAAAAGCGCCAUCUACAACUGCAUGCUAAUGAUUGCCAAAAUCACUGUUUGUUUUGUCGGAAGGCUUUCAAUCUUGCGGGGUCUUGAAGAGCCUGUUUCAGUAACUUGCCAUUAAUUCUCUCAUACAUUCCAAUCCUAAAAAAUGCUUCCAUCUUUUAGCUGCAACAGUUUAUAAUCAUCAGAAAGGUCUAGUCAGAAUAAUAUUACCUUCUCCUUUUUAACAGUUUUUUUUUUUUAAAUCAUGCCACUACAACUGUAGCUGCGCUCAUGUCAACAAUUAAUUCCUAUAAUCGACAUCAAAAUUAUAUGAAAGAAUUAACAUUUGGAUACCGAGUUACCAUAUUUGAAGAUAAGGCGAAAGGUAAAAACACAAAAGGCAAGCAUGACCAAGCAAACAAGGUAUGGACAUUGAUUUUUUUGAAUCGGGAAUGGCCAAAUGGGACCGUGAAGAGGUGACAAAGGAGAAAUCAGGCAUUCACGGUUUCCAUUGGAUGAAAUGAGAUAAGAUCACUGUGCUUCUUCCACGUGGCAGGUUGCCAAAGAUAAGGCUUUACCAUUCAAGAAAAGUUUCCACCCUCUUUGUGGUCAUUAUGGUUGUAAUGUCAUCUGAUUUAGGAUCCAACGGUCACCCUUUCUCCUAAACCAAUCUCUAAAUGUGGUGAGCUUAGGCCAAAUUUAAUGACUAUAUAUAGGGGAUUGCACCAAGGCAGUCACACUAUUAAGGGAUCAGUGAGACUCUUUUGUAUACCUGUAGCAUAUAGUAAUAGUAAGCAGUAAUAGCAAUGGCCUCCUCCAUGAUCUCAUCGGCAACCAUUGCCACCGUGAACCGCUCCUCCCCGGCACAGGCCAACAUGGUGGCCCCCUUCACGGGCCUCAAAUCUGCCUCUGCUUUCCCAGUCACCAGGAAGGCCAACAACGACAUCACUUCUCUUGCAAGCAACGGUGGGAGAGUGCAAUGCAUGCAGGUACUUGGUGAUGCAUAAAUACCACUUAAAUUACCCCAAGUGUUUGAACACAACAAAUUACAUAAAUUGAAUCAAAUAUAUAUCUUGGCUUUUGAGUACAGGUGUGGCCGCCUCUUGGGAAGAAGAAGUUCGAGACUCUCUCAUACCUGCCCGAUCUUACUCCCGUACAGUUGGCUAAGGAAGUAGAUUACCUUCUUCGCUCUAAAUGGAUUCCUUGCUUGGAAUUCGAAUUAGAGGUGUUUUGGAGCUCUAAAUUAUUCCAUUCCUCCUCUUAAUUUUUUUAGUGGGAUAUUUGAGUUGAUUAAGUGUGUUUUAUAUGUAUGUGCAGGAGGGAUUCGUGCAUCGUAAGUACUCGAACUUACCCACGUACUACGAUGGACGCUACUGGACCAUGUGGAAGCUGCCCAUGUUCGGGUGCACCGACUCGGCUCAGGUGUUGAAGGAGCUUGAGGAAUGCAAGAAGGAAUACCCCAAUGCAUUCAUUAGAAUCAUUGGGUUCGACAACGUUCGUCAAGUGCAGUGCAUUAGUUUCAUUGCCUACAAGCCUGAAGGCUACUAAGUUGUUUACUUCCCUCCUAGGAAUUCCAUUUGUUUCAAAGUUGUACUUAAAUUAAGCCCCUCAAACCCCCCCCCCCUUUUUCUUUUUCUUUUUUAGUUGAGUUAUUUGGCUUGGGGUCUUUCUCUUUGUUUUGUUUUUGGAUUUCCAAUGGAACGGCUGAGAACUAAUGAAUAAAAAGGUAGUUUCUUGCCAUAUUUCAUGAAUCCAGUUCUUCCUCCAUUUUCAGUGCUAAGAUAUUCAUGUUAAGAUAGGAUAAAAAUUAAAAGAAAAAAAGGUGAUUGGGUGGUCUGGCUUUAAAAUAAGAGGAUAAAGAUUUUGUGGACAAGCAACGCUGUGCUGUUGGAGGCUCAUUAUCUUAGUACAUAGGAAUACACCAAACAAACCAUUUAUAUUAAAUUGUUUUAUUAUGACAUCACAAGUUUCUAUUAUUAAAAUAACAACUUAAAA